UAUAACUCUAAAUUAACCAACCUAACUGAUUCAGCAUGUUUAGUCCUUUAAUCUUUGUUCUUAGUACUACCUUCGUGAUCCCACACUCCUAAUCAUAUAAGCUAAUAUGUUGCACAUUCAAUCUUUGGAAGAUAUAAACAAAACAUAAAUAUAGAUAGAUUAUCUUUCCAUUAGGUUGAGCCAUCUGAUCUGACAAAUGCUACACUCAUGAUCCAUCAACUUUGUCUUGCUCACUAUGCUUAAGGUUAGAGAAGAACAAAUACACUUUUGGUUCUGUUGGUGUUUUCCACCAACAGGGCCCAUGCACUUGAUCUCUGCCUUGUCUCUAUGAGCAGGAACACUUCGAGCAUAAUAUGAAGCAGUUUUACAACUCCCAGACUCCACCAAGUGAAGAACCAGGAUCUACGAGCACAAACAUACUGGAGAUACUGGACGCUCAGGCAAUCACUGCCCUGAGAUGCUUUCGGACGUGAACUACAUCAACAACAAUAACAACUAUUACUACAACCAUCCUCAACAACAUCAAGGUUGGAAUCAACAUAGGCCUAAUUACUCAGAGAGGUGAUCCAGGACGCCCCGUCAUCUCGAUCUCCAUCGGCAUGGUGGACUUCCCAGAAGCACUCUGCGACUUUGGCUCCAGCGUCAACAUUAUGCCCAGGGUUGCAGAUCGGACACUCAGUUUCCCAAAGGAAAUAUUGAAGAACCUCUAUGUCCGAGUUGGUACCUUGUACACUCUAGCAGACUUCGUGGUGAUAGAGACUGGUACUGAGGAGAGGGCACCCAUCAUCUUAGGGAGGCCAUUCCUAAACACCAGAGCUGUCAUCUACGUUAAUGCUGCCAAGAUCAGUUUCUACAUCAAGGGGAAGAAGGAGACUUUCCUUCAAGAACAAGACUACACAAAUUUUAGAGUAAUUCCGACACGAACCAAGGAAGAGGACCAACAGGAGGAACAGGAACAAGCAAAUGUGGACCGAGUCAGCUAAGAUGGUCACUGCAGUUCAAAGAGGUCAAAAUCGUCGACUGAAGUCGCCUUUCCUGAUCAAGAAGGACGACCCUAGUGUUCCAAGCAUCGAGUGCACAAUCAAUGGAUACUCUUUUCAGAAGACACUCUACGACACCGGAUCUGACGUCAACAUAAUGGCCACAGUCACUUAUCAGCUCCUGUAUGGAACCAUGCCCCUACAACCAAUAUAUAUUCAGCUCCAGAUGAUUUUCAGAUCAUUGACAUGGGAGAAGACGAGUACGAUCCACCCAUCAUCCUUGGAAGACCUUUCCUCAACACUAUCAAAAUUAUCAUCUACAUUGGAAUCAGAGAAGUCCACGUGUACUUCCCUUUUGAGAAGGUACACCGCUAUUUUACUGACCCUAACUAUAUAGUUGAAGACUCUAAGCAGGUCAGGACAAGAAGAAGACAACGCAACCGCAACCAGAGGAGGCAAAUCAUCAAGGACGGAUGGGUAGACUACGAAGGAGAAGUGAUAAGGUUUGAAGACAUAUAGUUUGAACAGAACUGUCCUGAGGAGACCAUAGCACCGAGUCAGGUGUGGAGAGAGAAGAUAGUUAGACACGAAGAGGAGGCGCCGCCGGAACCACCGACUACGCCACCCAGCGACUCCCACGACGACUGAGAAAACGAAGAGUCCCGUUCGGAGGACUUAAAAAUACAGAACACCUUGCCAAGAGGUAAACUUGGUAGUUAUCCUUUUCCAUUCAAUAGUUUGCUUAGAUAAUCAAGUUCAUGCUAUCUUGAAAAGAAAACAAAAAUGUUAAAAAAAUAGUAAGCCCCGUGUGAGUAUGCUCAUGGAAUAAAACCCAUAAGUACAUUCACUGUGGUGCCAUAAAAAUAAAAUAAAUAAGUCUUCAUCUUACAAUAAAAAUAUAAAAAUAAUAAGUGCAUGAUCCUGCUAAAUAAGUAAUAUUUAUUGAGGAGGCUCAACAUGAUAAAGGCUAGAUAUUUAUGCUAACACUUAACCAGUUCCACAAAGCUUUGUUGUCUAUUUGAGCUCCACAGGAUUCAAGGAUCAAAAAAGACUAGCAGACGGAGAACAUCCUAAUCGCUGUCAGGGUGCUGCCGACUUUCAAAUACACCUCCACCCCUGCUAGCUACAUCAGAAGAAAUUACGCCAAAAUCCAGCUUGGGGGAGAGCACCCCCAUUUAUCCAGCUAAGUGUUUCUACUCGCAUUUAUACUCAAAUAAUAAAAGAUGCAUAAUCAUGAAAACCCAAAUAAAGAUUUUGUGCUUUUAUAUAUCUUUGCUUAGUUUGCUAAAUAAAUAAAUAAAUAAAGUUUGCUAUGAACCCUCAUGAUAAGCUCUCACAUGGAAAUGAUGAAUAGUUGCUCUGCCAUGACUAGUUCUUAAAAUUGAAAUCUCUCUCAAGUUUAGGCAUAACUAUUAUGAAUUAAGAUUUGCUCUAAACCUGAACUUGUGGGAAGAGUACUUGAUCUAAAGUCUAAGUCGUUAACGGAUAUGAUAUGGGAAGGUUGAGCUGCUGUUUAUCUGUUUCUAGAGAUGCUAGAAUUCUGGAGAAUUUUAUCUUUGAAAAUCUUUAAAAUAACACAUGAUGAGUUCCUGUAUGAUGAGAGUUUAAAAUCCUACCACAACCACAUAUACAUGCUUAUUAGACUAUGAAUGAUAUAUUUACUUUUUACUGCUUAUGAGCAUUGAGUGUGGUCAAACUGUGUAGACCCUUAGGAGCUUGUCAUGUAGUUAAAAUCAAGAUUCACUUGCAUGAUCACUCGUAUAUGCUGCUUCUAUUCCGGAAGUACGCAUCCACAUACAUCCACUCAUUUCCAUCUCCAGAUUCACCCAAAAUUAUUCUACUCCUAAUCCGGGAGAGAAUAGCCAAAAAAACAUUUUUCCUAUCCCUGUUAUUCCCUGUGAAAUAAAUGCUCCAGUUAUUUUGGUUACUACCACUUGCUACAUUAUUUCAAGAGAUGAGUGCUCUAAAAAAAGAGAAGAAAAAAUAAUAAUAAUAAUAUACGAGGAAAUAAAAAGGGGCAAGUGCUCGGAACCUCGAAGAAAAGAAAAAGUGAGACGAGAGGUAAAAAUGGACAAGCGUCUGACAGUAGAAUUAGGGGUAUAAGAUACCCACCUGAGAGGAAAGAAAAGAAAAUAUAGAGCAUCUCAUUCUCCUCAAAAAGCUUCAAAGUGCAAGAAUGGUAUGUAUCCCCUUAAAAGAGCAAAAGUAGAAUUAGACUUUCACCAUUGUUAUCACCAUCAUCACCAUACACCAUUCAUUCGCCACACAUGCACACCUUGAUUUGACUUAUUGACUUGUUUCUCUGGAUCCAUGGUUUGACUAUGCACUAAAUGUCUUGUAAGUAUGUAUUAGCUGUCUCCCACCUAUGAGCUCCAGAUAUCAAAACCUUAUUAGAGUAGGGUGAGAGAGAAGGCAAUAUCACUAUGCAUUAUACCAAAAAUACCACAUACUUUGAGAGAAGGCAUAUACCAUUACUGCCUUGGUAAGGAUCCAUAAAUACCACAAAAGAGAUAUCUGAGAGAGUCAUACAAGGAAUCUCUGAGUUUUAUUUGAAAAUCUACAAAAAACUCCAGAGCUAUAGCUGAUCAAGAAUAAGAGACAUGGCGCUUGACUUGACCGUUCUAUCUUUUAACUGCUCAAGACACAAGUGACGGUUACAAGCCCCAUGGUGAAAGGUAAAAUGAGUAAGUUUUAAGUCUUAAGAGUUUAUUCUAACUCAAAGAUAAGAUCUUGCUUGAAUGCGUGUGUACUUUUAAGGCAUAAAACCACUGCAGAAACUCUUGAGUUCAUCCUUGCUCAGGGACGAGCAAGAGGUAAGCUUGGGGGAGUUGUUGACGGUCAUUAAGUACCAAAUAUAAUCAUCAAAUAAAUAAAGAAAAGGAUCCAAAUGCAACCAACACCUAGACUUAGGGUUUUAUCUGACAGAAUUCCACGAGUUUUGGUGUUUGUCUAUUUCUGCAGGGGGUUAUCUGGAAAUAUGAAAGAAAGGCCCACAUGUCGGGAUUACAUAGAGAUAUCAACGCACUGCGUAAUUUUCUACCAUCUAGAGGACUCCAGAAGCAACGAGAAGAAAGCAGAGGCCGAAAGGGGCCAGGCCCAGGGCGCCCGCCCUCUUUCCCUAGGCGCCCGCCCUGUCGUGGACUCCGUUCGGGACUCUCUUCGCAAACGAUGUUCCACCGACCUAAAUGAUCAAGGAUAACGUAGUACCACAUCGCCUACCGACCCAAAAACGCAUAGAGGAGGAGGACUAUAUAAGGAGACCCCCCUGGCCCCUGGAGAAGACAAGAAGUUAUCAUAGAGUUGAGGGGUGCCCUUGAAGGAAAACCUCUUCUCUAAAUAAUAUUUCUUUUUAGGCUUAGCAUCCAAUGUAAAGUAGAAAUAGAUCUUCUAGUUUCUACUAGAUUGAGAGAGAUAGAGUGGAGGUGUAGAUCGGACGAAGGCCGGCCUGUCGGUGUCUACUCCGAGUUGUACCUGCGGGAUCAAGUCUUCUAACCCGAGGCUUGCUCCUAAGAUUCUUCAGUAAUUCGACUUCUAAUUCUAAGUAAGUUCUUGUUUUAUUGUUCUUUGGUUUAUGAGUUUACUUUAAUCCUCUUCCAGUUGAGUAUUAGAGUAAUCACUGCUAGCGUAAACGUGGUGUUUAGGCUAGGGUACUCAUAGAUAUCCCCUAACUAGCUGGACCGUGGUAGUAGCGAGGAAAGUGACAUUUCUGAGUUACCUUUGCAUCCCAUAUCUUGUUAGCAGGACGGGUAGGGUUUAUAGGUGCGGGUCGAACAUCCUUUGUGGUGUCUAGAUUCAGUAAGCUUCCCCAAUAGAACAGUAGAUCAUCCUUACCAAGGUUAGAACGAGACUACGGUUGCAGUCUUCUCUAUACAUCACUCACAUCGAGAAAUAUUCUUUGUAGCCUAAAGGGAUAGUAGCAAUAGAUUUGGUUAGUCAGAUGCACCCUUUCUCCCAGUGGUAAAAAUAUAAAUACGAUAACUCUGGAUAACCUCCCGGGUGAAAUGCUCACUGAUAUCCGUGCGCUUGCGGUCAUUUCCUGAUUGCGUUACCAAAUAUCAACACAGACCCGCACCUCAGCUUCACUUACAGUGCUCUGACUGGUGACCCUACGCCUCCACCUCUACAGGCUCCAGCAGCUUUUACAGCGCCAGUCACCACUACAGAGCGUCUAUCGUCGUCUGUAGCAUUGUACGAGCAGCUUGCACCGUCUUCCACCGUGUCAGAGACGUCAGCUACAGCGACCGAGUCCGUGCCAGCUUCGUCAGCAGGACUCGAGCAGCCAGCACAGCCAGUGACAGCUCCAGCACCUACAGAGCAGACCCGGACCGCUUCGCCAGCUCGUGCAGCUUCAGAGGGUCACUCCACCUCCUCCGCCUCGACGACCGACGGUUCAGACGAUGCAACUCGCUUUGAGGCCGUGCCGAGGGACUCCACUGCUCCACCGCCUCCUCCGUCUUCUUAGGUUUUUGGCGCUUGAUGCCAAAGGGGGAGAGAGUAUGAGUAUGAGAGUUAGGAGUUAGGAGUUAGGGGGAGCUAGAGAGCUAGAGAGUGCUUUUAUUCUUUUGAGAUACUUUUAUGGGUGCUACUCCAUCAAGCAUCACGUCUACUUUUAUGCAUUGCACUUGUGUGAGAUACACCUUGGUUGUGAGACAUGACUUGUCAUGUAUUUGGCUCAUAUUACAUUUGCUUCCGUGUUUUUACUCCGAUGUACUUAUGAGCCUUGUGUUUAUAUCAUGUUGUAUACAACUCACAUAUUUGGAUGCAGGAUGUCAGACGUGGUUGAUAUAAGCAUGACUAAUUCCUUUGCUCUUAUUAUAUAACAUGCUUAUUGAAACCAAGUCAUUUGGAAACCUCAACUCUUUUCAUACUCGAGGUUGUCAUCAAUCACCAAAAAGGGGGAGAUUGAAAGAGCAUCUAGGCCCCUAGUGAUUUCGGUGAUUAAUGACAUUGUUGAUUACUAUGACAAACGUGUGUUUUGCAGAGGCAAAGUCAUAGGUAAGGUCAUGGUAAAUAGGUACUCGAUGGAUAGGGAUGUACAUGCCUACUUAAUAGUGGAAAUCGGUUCGGUUUUCAAAGGAUGGAUGGACAUCGUCAAGACUAGAAUAGGUCUAAGUGCCAUAUGGUGAAGAAGGGCACUUAGAGUAGUUUAGGACAUUGUUUUCCUUUGACCGUACUAUUAAGAGGGGCUUUGAUCUAGUAGCUUGACUUAGGCAAGGCUUUAGGUUUAGGUGUGGUGCACACUUGGUAAACCUAGCACUAGUCAGCUCAGAGAUAGUCCUUAGAUCGAGAGGAACCAACUUCAUUUUGGAGCGAUCGUGUUUCGGCGAAGUUAGGGUGCCCAAGGGGGCACCGGACGCUGCAGCGGACGCUCUGUGAGUGCGUCCGGUGAGGUCCUUAGCCGUUGGCUCAGUGCGGUGCUUAGGGAUAGGCACCGGACGCUGGCACCGGACUCACCGGGCAGCGUCCGGUCCUAUACCCAGGGAGGUUGUAAACCCUCCCCGAGCACCAGACGCACCGGGUAGCGUCCGGUCCCAUGCGCAGGGAGCAUGUAAAACUUCCCAGAGCACCGGACGGUGCACCGGACGCUGGAAGAUAGCGUCCGGUGAUCUGUCAGAAGCAAGUACAGUUAGCCAUUAUGGAGCACCGGACGCUCAGUGCAGUGCGUCCGGUGCAACAUAAUGUGCGUCCGGUGACCCCAUUUUCAGUAGAAAACGGUUGGUCGACCUUUGGACUUUGUGGAUAGUAUUUAUACUCCUCCACCUCGUCCAUGAGAGGUCUCUUGCCCAUUUGAACUUCAGAGAAACUUGUUGUGGAGCAAGAGAGUAGCAAGAGCCUAGAGAGGAUUGAGAUUUGAGUGAUUUCUUGAGAGAAUCCUUCUCUAGUGAGUUCUAAGAGUCAAGUGUGCAUCCACCACUCUCUAGAGCCUUGUUUGGGUCAACUGAGAGUUCUUUGCUUGUUACUCUUGGUGAUCGCCAUCACCUAGACGGUUCGGUGGUGAUUGGAGACACGAAGACCGCCCGGAGUUCUUGUGGGUGGCUCGUGUCAAGCUUGUGAGCGGUUUUGGGCGAUUCACCGCGACGGAGUGUCAAAGAAUCAGCCCGUAGAGAGCACUUGGUCCUUGCGCGGAUCAAGGGGGAGCAAGACCCUUGCACGGGUGCUCCAACGAGGACUAGUGGAGAGUGGCGACUCUCCGAUACCUCGGCAAAACAUCGCCGAGCACUUUCUUCCACUACUCCUUUACAUUCUAGCAUUUACUUUGUGUUUUUACAUUCUUAGAAUUGCCUUGCUAGAAUAGGAUUGGAACUAGGUUGCAAAACUUUUAUCCGGUAGUUCUCUAGGUCACACUGGGCACAAGGGGUGAAAUUGGAUCUUAUAGGUUGCUUAAAUUUUUAGAGAAGCCCAAUUCACCCCCCCUCUUGGGCAUCUUGAUCCUUUCAAGUACCUUUUACUAAUCAUCCCUAUCUCUGGACCUACACAACCUGUAGUUGAUAUGGAUGUUUUCUUGGAGCCCUUAAUACAGGACAUGAAGAUACUGUGGGAAACAGGUGUUCAAAUGUUGGAUGAGUACCGCAAAGAAUCAUUCACACUGAGGGCAAUUAUCUUUGUUACAAUCAAUGACUACCCAGCUCUCUUUACAUUAUCAGGGCAGUUCAAGGGAAAGCUUGGUUGUGUGGUAUUGUUGACGGUCCUUAAGUAUCAAAUAUAAUCAACAAAUAAAUAGAGAAAAGGACCCAAAUGCAACUGACACCCAGACUUAGGGUUUUAUCUCACAAAAUUCUACGAGUUUUGGUGUUUGUCUAUUUCUGUAGGGGGGUAAUCAGGAAAUAUGGAGGAAAGGCCAACAUGUCAGGUUUACAUAGAGAUAAUUACAUGCCGUGCAAUUUUCCCUAACCUAGAAGAGUCCAGAAGCCAUGGGAACGAGCUUGAGGCCGAGCGAGCCCGGGGACAGGGCGCCCGCCCACCCCCCUUGGGCGCCCGCCCUGCUGCUUGGGCCAAUCAGGCUCCGUCUCGCGGAUAAUGCUCCACCGACCUAGAGGAUUAAGGAAAACCGUGCGAUUAAGGUCGGUUUGAUCCGACGGCCCAUGUUCAUUUGAAGGGACUAUAUAAGCAGGCCCCCUGGCCCCUAGAGGAGGCACCUCUGAAACCCUAAUUCAUUCAUUCAUCUCGGGAGAAGAAGUCUCUGAUCAAGCCCUAGAGCCACCACAUCAACUAGAUCUCUAGUUUAGCAUAGCUACAUAGGAUUAGAACUAGAUGGAGUCAAUCUUCGAUUGGUUUACGGAUCUGUCAAGAGGAUUCUUGGUAAUUCCUCUACUGUUCUUCAUUUGUUCAUUAUUUUUCUUCAAUAUUAUGAAUAUGACUCUGUUCUACUUCAAUAUAUUGAUUAUGACUUUGCUCUACUUGUUUAUAUUUGCAAUUAUAUCGUUCUUAGUUUAUCAUAGUUAUAUGCUUGGUUUAGUUAGAUUGGAAUUAUAUACAUGUUUAGGAUCGUAUAGCGUUUAUCCAUGUGUACAGUGGGUAAAUGAUAAGUAUUGCGUAGGCGUGGUGCCUAUAUCGUAUUUAUCUACGAUUGUACCCUAUAUGCCGGAUCGCGGGGUAGUGCGUGGUGGUGACAGCUCCAUUGAUUCUUAUAUACUCCCCCUCCUGUGUAUAGGGUAGGCAGAGCAACAUUAUUACAGGGGAGUGAUUGCUAUGUUUCUCAGCUUCCUUCAUAAUAUCACUAUGUAUGGGCGUAGUCCUGUCUCGCAAUGAUUGCCAAGUAUAAUUGCACUAACUAUGAUAUGCUAGACUUUAUAGUUAAGAAUAACUUAGGAAAUAUUCUUGUAGUUCAUCCUAAUUCCAUGCUAACGACUUGCUAGAAUAUCUGUUGAGGUGCUUAUCAUUAUUAUAUGUGGCUAGUUAUGCUGAUCAGAUUAAUUAUCUUUGUCACCAUUCAUACUUUAUCUAUAUUUUAUGUGACAUUUAUCCCUAUUACACAUGCAAUGAUAGAUACUCAAUUCCAUAUUUCAUUCCAUAAUCAACAUUGAUGAUUAGCAAUCCCUUCCCAGUGGUAAAAAUAUAAAUAACGAUACUUGGAAUACUUCUCGGUUAAAAUGCUACAUCGGUAUUAAUCUGUGCGCUUGCAGAUCUCAUUUAUUAUUUAUUCAGAAGAGCAAUUGCAUAUUUCAAUACCGCGUCUCUCAUCUCAUGCUGGGGAUGACAACUUGGCUUAAGUGGCAUGAGGGAUACGUUUGGCAUUUUUGGCACCGUUAUCAGAAUUAGAAAACUAAGUCUACUUUUGGUAAUGACGUUAAGAAUGCCCAACAGGUAUGCAUAGAUGACACCGCUUAUGUGUCCCUAACUACAUCUAAGAAGAUAGUGUACAUGAGCCACAGACGCUUCUUAUCAAAAGGACACAUGUACCGACUGAAAAAGAUGGAUAAGUACGUUGACAAUAAUAGUGAACUACAGACUACUGCUCCAUCAGGUAACAAUAAAGGCCAAAGAGUUUUCAGCAUAGUCAACAAACUCAAAUUUAUUUUUGGGAAGAAGACAAAAGAUGGAAAACCAAGAAAGAAUGUCAAACCAACUCCAGGGGCUACAUUCAAGAAGAAGUCAAUUUUCUUCGAGUAUUUGGAAUACUGGCCAGAGUUAGACGUACGCCACGCGAUCGAUGGUAUGCACGUUCAGAAGAACGUGUUUGAAAAUGUAAUUGGCACCUUGUUGGACAUGAAGGGCAAGACACAGGAAGGAUUAAAUUCAUAUUUGGACAUGGUACAAUUAUGCAUAAAAAAAGAACUUCACCCUGUUAGGCUAGAAAAUGGGAAGUACCACCUCCCGACAGCAAGCUACAACCUUAACAAUGAAGAGAAACAUGCGAUGUGUGUGUGGUUGAAGAAAUUGAAAGUCCCAUCUGGAUUCUGCUCUAGCAUAUGGAGUAUUGUGUCAAUGAAAGACCUUACACUCACCAACUACAACUCACAUGAUUGUCAUGUCAUACUGACUACUUUUCUCCCUAUUACCAUUAGGGCUAUAAACCCGGUGUGGAUAAAGGUUGCAGUUACACGGUUGUGCUACUUCUUCAACAGGAUCUCAUAGAAGGUGAUUGAACGUGAUGAGUUGGCAUCUCUUAAUGAAUUCAGAGUGGAGACAGUGUCACAGUUUGAUAUGUGUUUCCCCCUAGCAUUCUUCGAUGUCAUGGUUCACCUUGUGGUGCACUUGGUUUCACAAAUAGAGGCAUUGGGUCUCAUGUAUUUGCAUGAGAUGUGGACAUAUGAACAUUUCAUGUCAAUACUAAAUAGCUAUGUAUCAACUCGUGCUCGUCUAGAGGCGUCUAUGGUAGAGGGGUACUUAACCGAAGAGGCCAUUGAGUCCGGAGGUCCAUUCUACAAUAGGGUCCUAAAAGACCAGGUUGCAAUAGGUUUACCUCCGUCACGACACGAGGGUAGGCUGAAUAGAAGAGGUAGGAUGGGAAAGAAAUCAUACGUCCCAAAAGAUUACAAUUCAGUUCUCGAAGCACAUCACAACAUCCUACAUCAGCUCUCGAUAAUGGAGCCUUUGAUCAAUCUACACAUUGAAGAGCUUCAAAAACAUAAUCAUGGGCACACAGAUGAAUGGAUAAUGAAGGAACAUAAGAAUUAGUUCACCUCAUGGCUAAGGGAGUAAGACAUUCUAGAUGGGGAAACAAUUGAGGAUCGCACCAUCAAGGUCUUGGCAUCUGGGCCAUCACGCUAGGUCACGACUUGGCAAACCUAUGACAUUAGUGGCUUCACGUUCUGUACCAAGUCCAAGGUCCAAAAGAGCAUGGCACAAAACAGUGGUGUUCGAUGCGACACCUUAGACUCUGAAACUUGUGAGGAAACAACUUACUUUGGCUUUGUUGAGGACAUAUGGGAACUAGGCUAUGGUACAUUUCAGAUCCCUGUAUUUUGGUGUCAGUGGGUUGAAGACAAACAUGUCACAGUGGACAACUAUGGGGUUAGAGUUCUAGAUCUCAGCAAGGUAGGCUACAAAGAUGAUCCAUGGAUAAUUGCUAACCGUGCUGCACAGUCUUCUAUGCUGAGCAGGUCCUCUCUCCUAAUGAUAAGAAGAAAAUUAUGGACCAUCCAAAGCACGUAGUUUUCCCUGGAAAGCAACAAGCCAUCGGAGUUGAUGGUGUAUCUGACUUGGAUAAAUUUAACCAGUUCAGUGACAUGUCUCUCUUUGUAGACGACCAUCCAGUAAAGAAAAGGAAUGUUGAGCGAAGCAUUCCACAGAGCUCGUUGCCCUAGGUGCGUCAUGAUGGACAAGGAAGAACAAUAGCUGCCUAGAUUUUAUUUGUCAUUUGCCAUGUAAUAUAUUUAUGAUAAAAUGUAUAACUUAUGCUAUGUGCCCUUCUCUAUUUCUACAUGUAAGACCCUAUGCUUAUUUCUACAUCUAAGACUUACCAUGUCAUAACACUUUGAUAUCGUAUUGGUCUCAAACUUUUACGAAGGCUUACUAGCGCCAUUGAUGUUCAAUCCACCAAGUUUGGGAUUUUUCUAAUGUGGUUUGUUACUUUAUCUGGUUUAAUUGAAUUUUCGCGCGACGUCACCCACUAAUUAGCGCUUGAACUAAGUCUACCCCUGAAAUGACUCCAAAUUGUGCCAAACUUCUCCACAGGGUCUUAUAUACCAUAGGAAAUAAAACUUUCUUGUGGUUGCUAGAAAAACCUAGUGGGAUCUAGGUGUAGUCCAUCAUUUUUCAUCUUAUUUAGCACAAAGAAAAAUGUAAUAAUAACUUGUAUGACCAGAAAAUCCUAAGAUCUUGUGUGGGGUCAUCAUUUGAGUGUAGAAGAUUGCCAAAAAAAUUUCAAGAUAUUUGGAGAUAGGCAUAAGAUACGUGCUUCACAAACGUAGAAGAGCCAUUCCACUGAACUAUGCUCAAACAUAUGGGUUCCUCACAUUUAUAUUGUCAACAAUAAAUUGCACAAAGGAAUAUAUUUUUAUAGCAUUUACACACUACAAUAAAGCUAACAAAAUUGGAUUUACAUUUUUCUGGUAUUCCUAGAAAUAUUUAUGUAUUAAACAAGAUAUGAGGCACAUAUUCAAUUUAAAUCAUUUUAAAUAAAGUUGCAUACAAAAGUACCUCAAACAUGAAAUUUCAUAUUUUUAACAUAUGUAUCUGGUCAAGAGGAACACAACAAAAAAAAUUUCACUAAUUUAGGACAAAUAUUUUUAAAGAUAUGAUUUUUUGAAUCAUUUAAAUAAUUUCUAAAUAUAUAUAUAAGGAAUAAACUGAAAAUACAUUUAUACAGGCGGCCCUCGGAGUGAACCGCCAGUACUAAUAUAUUAGUACUAACGACUGUCUUAGCCAACCGCCAGAACUAAUGCAUUAGUACUGGCGGUUGUCUUAAUCAACCGCCAGUAGAAAUGGUUUCUACAGGCGGUUGACUAUGACAACCGCCUGUACUAAUGCCAAUGUAUAUAACCGGUCUCCUCCGCCCGAAAUUUUUCUAAGUCUAGCGCCCUGUUCAUUCAAACUUAGCCGACAGGCUACCGAAAUUUUCCACCGCUUUACAUGUAAUUUUAUUUAUAAUUAUUAUUUUAUAUAUGAUUAUAUUGUAAUUUACAUGUAAUUUUAUUUAUAAUUAUUAUUUAUAUGCGCCUGAAAUUAUUUGUGUCUAUCCUUUUAUAAAUACUUGUUAUUAUUACUCUUUAUAUAUGUAAUAGAAUUCAUAAUUAUUAUUUCAUAUGUAAUUAUGUUGAGGAAAUAUAUCUAUGUAUUAUUUGUGUCUAUCUUUUUAUAAAUACUUGUUAUUAUUUCUCUUUAUAUAUGUAAUAUAAUUCAUAAUUAUUAUUUCAUAUGUGAUUAUGUUGAGAAAAUAUAUGUAUGUAUUAUUUGUGUCUAUCCUUUUAUAAAUACUUGUUAUUAUUACUCUUUAUAUAUGCAAUAGCAUUCAUAAUUAUUCCUUUUAUAAAAUACUUGUUAUUAUUACUCUUUAUAUAUGUAAUAGAAUUCAUAAUUAUUAUUUCAUAUGUGAUUAUAUUGAGGAAAUAUAUGUAUGUAUUAUUUGUCUAUCCUUUUAUAAAUACUUGUUAUUAUUACUCUUUAUAUAUGUAAUAGCAUUCAUCAUUAUUCCUUUUAUAAAUACUUGUUAUUAUUUCUCUUUAUAUAUGUAAUAGAAUUCAUAAUUAUUAUUUCAUAUGUGAUUAUGUUGAGAAAAUAUAUGUAUGUAUUAUUUGUGUCUACCCUUUUAUAAAUACUUGUUAUUAUUACUCUUUAUAUAUGUAACAACAUUCAUAAUUAUUCCUUUUAUAAAUACUUGUUAUUAUUUCUCUUUGUAUAUGUAUUAGUGUAUAUACCCUAGGAUACAUAAAUUUAAUUUUAUUCAUAAAUUACAUAAAUUUCUGCGAUGAGUUCACCGCACAAGGAUGAAACACUGCAGUCCGAACCCACGGAGCGAGUAGAAAGAUCAUCCCACCCUAUGGAACAAGAUCGUGAGGUCACGAAACAAGUAGAAACGGGCGAAGCAUCAGGAUCGUCCUACGAACAAGAAGCUAGCGACGAUAUGGAGCCUCUAGAAGUGAGGAAGACUCGUCAUGAAUUGGCACGUGACCCCGAUUACAAUCCAGAAGCCGAUGAGGUAAAUUAGAGACAUUGACGAUUCCAUGUAAGUAAAUGAUUUCUAUUCAUAGUUUCUACAUAUAAACACGCCCAUGAUUCACAUGUCUAUACUCAGGAGGCAAUGUCUUAGUUUAGAGAGAUGAUGUCUCACGAGGAAGUGGCACACGAAGACGCACCGGAACCGACGAACGCAACGAUGAGCCCUGAGAGGCCAUGUCAGUCCAGGAAAAGGAAGCGACUAGGUUUGAAACGAGGCGAGAGAGGGUUGAACCAAUUUCCAAAUAACACAUAUGCCAUCACAGAUGUGAGCCCUACCGGACAGCCACUAGCUCCAGAGAAGGCCCUACCCAAAUACAGGAACGCAAUUGGUUUCUGUGUGAGGGACUUUCUUGAUAUCUCAACUAAGAACUGGUUCGGUGUGUCGAAUAAUCACAAGAUCAAAAUUUGGGAUAAGAUUAAGACAAGGUUCCAGUUUCCUAGGAAUGUACCAGAAGAUUUAGUGAAGGCAUAUACAAUGAAGCAGUCUGCGGUUAGUUUCCGAAAUUGGAGGUCAGAGAUGAAUGUCAAGUAUGCAAAGACAGGCCAAAUACAAGAUUACUAAAGGGUAGUGGGCUGUUUUUCUAGAGCAGAAGAAUGACCCUAACUUCUUAGCUCGGAGCGAAGCCAACUCCCAGCUCGCAAAGAGGAACAAGUACCACCACCAUCUAGGCACAGGUGGUUACCAACACCAAGUUCCUAAAUGGAGGCAAGAAGAGGCUACGAAGAAGGCAGUAGGGUUGCCAGUGUUGUCCGAGCAAGUCGGUGAAAGGUCCGUGAAUUGGAUCCGUGCUCGGAAACCAAAGGAAACCAAGACGGGUGUGUCCUUUGAAGACCCAAUGCUUGAUGAGGCAAUGAAGAGCAUCUUUGCAGUGGUAGGCAUGCAGCAGGAAGGCAAGUUCACGCCACGAAGGGAGAGGGACAUCCUGAGUGUUGGCCUCGGUAACCCCGAGCAUCCUGGCCGUGUUCGAGGCAUCUCAUCCAAAGAAGGAUGGAAGGAUGGAUUCGGCCCUCAAUGGAAAAAUUAGUAUAAGAAACAUGAUCGGUACAAGGAACAAAUGGCAAAUUAUUUUCAGGAAGAGGCUAAGAAAGACUUCCAAGAGAUGAUGGGGAAGUUGCUAGAAAACCCUCCUCCUGAGUUGAUGCAGAAACUAGCGAGUGCCGUAUCAAAUCAACAGAUGAGCACUCAAGCUCCCCAAAUGCAGCUAGUCCUAGUGGUGUCGCAACCGUUGGUGGCACCGAGUGAAACAAUCAUUCCAAGAAGUGUCGCAUCAAUGGCAAAUAAGUAUCAUUGUCCAGUUGACGACAUUGUUACUUCUACACCUUGCUCCCUUGUCAUAAGAUAUGGGAUUAACAAUCAUCGUACAAGAGAAGUAGCCACGGGCAAAGCGAUCCCAAGAGGACCUAAAUACCAUGGUGCUGACAUUCCUAAAGACUACUUUAGAGUAGAGGUAUCAACCGUGGUCCAAGGAUACGAGGAUGAGAUUCUAGACAUCCCUGGUCCCGAGGACAUUGUGAAACUAGGACAGGCGAUAAAAAAUUUCAUCCUUUAGCCUCGGAGGGACGUGCAACUAAGGGAGCCACCACCACCCUCUCAAGAGAUGCCACUCACCCAGGAGUCGUCACCUCAUGUCGAUCGUCUUCCUAACCCACCGCCUUCACCUCCCCAGUCUCUUCCUGACCCACCAGAAUCACCUCUCCAUGUUUUCUCUGUCCAUCAACCAUCUUCUCUCCAUGAUCUUUCUACCCCACAGUCAACACAAUCUCCACCACCAUUCAAUUCCACCCCUUCCCCAUAACUCAAAGAUCAAGAAACAAGAAGUGAGCCACCAAAGGUGCAAAUUAAGAAGAAAGUAUUUCCGAUACCCAAGUUGAUUUCACCAUACGAGCCAAAGAAAAAAUUAGCUAGGCAAGUGAGAUUUUUGUCAGGCAUUGCUUCUAAAUGCACAGUACAAGAGCAUGAGAUUUCUGAGCUAGCAAAGUCAGAGGUGCCGGCGCCUAAGGUCAUAACUCUUUCAAAUUCAAGGUGCCAACUAUAGAAGACUACAAGCAUAUCCCCAAAAAGUACAUGUGGGGAAAGCCUCUACUCAGUCGGACCAAACUUAUGAAGAAACCAAGUGGUAUAAAAGGUUUCAUGACCGGUACAUGAGAGCCUCUUCUGCUGGCAUCGACACCAUAAGCAUGCGCAUACCACAAAUAGCAUUUCUCAGCUAGAGUACUGACAAAUGCAUGCUUACAUUUGAUGACAUGUGGGCACUGAUGAACCACGAGAUGCUAGAUGUACAGAUCAUAACGGCAUUUGCAUUGUAAGUGUUACAUAGUUACACACAUUGUAGUUUCAUCAAUUUUCAAAAUCUGACAUGCUUCUGUCUUGUAGAAUGUUAUAUGAUCAACAAGAUUUGUAUCUUGGUUCAGACUUUAAUUAUUGUGUCGAAGAAAGGAAUGCCUAUCUCUCCCCAAUAGAUAUAGCCGAAAAUCGGCACACAUUCCGGAUCAGGAAUGACAGCACAGAGGUACAUGGUUUGGAAGGUGCAGAACGGGAUGAGAAACUUCGAAAGUUGAAACUUGAUUUUGAAGCCAAAUACGCCUUCUACAUUGGACAUUCACUAAUAAAGUUUUAAGACAGGAAAACGGUGGUGGCCCCGUACCACUUUGGGUAAGUGUGAGUUUACAAAUAUCUAUCUAAACUAUUCCAAUGCAUAAAUGCAUCAUGGAUUUAAUUCGAGCAGGAACCACUGGAUAUGCUUCAUCGUUUAUCGUAAGGAGGGAAGGGUGUUGGUACUAGACUCCGCAGAUUACCCGAAAGAAAGCUAUGCUCCAUUCAUCAAACUGCUAGAGCUGUAAGUCAAGCUAUGCAUGCAUACUUAAACAUAGUGAGAGUUUGACACUAACAUGGUGAUUCUAUUUGAGAUCAUCGGGCAUACAGGUUCUAUAAGAUAAAUCAUGGAAAGUGCGAGUCCAUGAGACCAGGGCAACCAUUGGAGGUUAUACAUAACUGGCCGCUACGUAUAAAAAUUUACUAUUAUGAAUACAAAUCAUACACAUAUGACCACAGUUGCAACUAUAAUUAAAUAACCACUCUCCUGUUAUACAGCGCAUGAAGCAACCACCCUUAUCUGUCCUCUGUGGCUAGUACGUGUGCGAGAACAUGAGAGAGAACGGACGAUAUGCAAGGAACCCUGACAAGGUAAUAUAAGUAAUAGUCUAUUAAAGUUGGAAGUCAUAAAAUAUAUAAUGUUUAUAAACUUUCUUUGCAAGCAAGGGACGGCGGAGCGCAUGGACGAACGUGCUUUAGACAACAUAGUUGAGGACAUCUGCUCGUUCAUCAUAAAGCAUGUCAUUCCACUUGAAGGCAAAUAUCAUGAUGAUGAAAGCCAAUUAUCCAGGCCACAGUUCCGAGUGCUAACAGAGAUUAGUAAGCUCAAACUUACUAAAGAGGGUUAUUAGAGGACAGAAACAAACUUUGAUGUAUAUAUAUAUGAUGUGUGAUGAUGGAUAUACUCUUGUAAUUAAUUUUAUGUAUUUGAGCACCAAACUUUGAUGUAUACAAAUGUAUGUAUGAGAUGAAGUAUUUAAAUUGCAUGUUGCUAUGAUUGAAGACCAACCAAUACCAUUAUAUUUAAAUAAUAACAAUAAAAUAAUAAAUAAUUAAAUAAAUAAAUAAUAUUUUAAUAGGUUUCCACAGGCGGCUCUCUUAGGGAACCGCCAGGCGGUUCUCUAAGAGAGCCGCCUAUGUAAAUGGUUUCUACUGACGGCUCUCAAGCAGCCGCCUGUGGAAAUGAACGAUUUCUACUGACCCCCAGCGCAGGCGGUGCUGGAAAACGUCUGUAGAAAUAUGUUACCAACCGCCUGUAUAGUGUGCCCAUGUACUAGUGUAGAUGCAUGAUGCUGAAGAAUUGAACACUAGAUCACUUCGCCCUUGUAUAUGAAAAGGGUUGUAACCCUUUAUGUUAAGGGCAAAAUAGUCAUUUAAUGUAAAAUACGAAGAUUGUGUCCUAUAAUUACCCCCACCAAUGUGUGCAGAGAAUGAAUACAACUUUAACUUAUGUUCAACUUUCCAUGUUGAUGAGAUUGUUUCGUUUACUUAAAACUUUCAUGCAACACCAAUGUUAUUAUUAUUUUUUUGCUUCACUUGCUCUGACCCUCCAUGUGUUGUAGCACCCGCCAAAGCCAUUUGAAGUCGUACAAAGAAGGCCUAAAGGCUAAAGCUGUGAUGUGUGCGUCGCAAAAAAAAACGGUGAUGUGUGAAUGGUAAAUUCGAGGAAUCCGGGGCUCUACAUGAACACGCUAUGUGUUCCGUUGUUAUUGCCUGGCAAGACGUGAUCACCGGAACACAAAAACAGAACAACAAAGCUAGUCAUUCUCAGCCAGCCUCUAAUAAAUCCAAUCCGUAUCCAUCACCUAGGCUGGAUGCCACCCCUGACCCUCAGCCUCUCCCUGGCGAACUCGCUGGAGACUGGCCCUCGCCUGUGUCGCGGCACCACCGGCGCCCCAAACUCCUGCACCUGGGCCCUAUGUUUCGCCCGCGGCUCCUCGCCAAUUGCUUCGUUGUCUGCUGAUUCCUGUGCGUCCUCCACCGUGCUGCUGCUCCAGCCGAACUCCACCAUGCGCUGCUGAUAGCACUUGAUGGCCACCACCAGCAUGAACACCGCCCAGACGCGUGCCACCGUGGAUGAGACGUUCCAGACCAGGGUGAAGACGGCUGCCACCACAGCUUUCUUGUGGGAGCACGACUCCCAGGCGUCCCUCAACCUUUCCAGCCAAAACUUGCCUGCAUGACAUGGAGAUCAACCAAAAAAUUCGGUUUAUAUUUAUGCUUAUACUAAUUUGUUAUGAGAAGAAAACACUAUUUGUUCGUCGAAAAGUACCCAUAUCCUUUCACAUUUACGUUACUCUACUUUAUUGGCAGUACCCAUAUACUUAUUGCCGUUUGCUUCCUGCCUGGUUAGUUGGGUUCCUGAUGUACUUUUCGCCUUUGCCCAUGCUUUCAUGGAGCUAGAUUAUUAAGUCCAGACAUGUGAAAGCAGUAGGGUCUAGUUUAAGUGCUAGUGUACACCAUGAAAAAGUUUACAUACAUGCAUGGAAGGGAACCAAACAUAAAGUUCACGGCAUCAUUUCUUUUACUGAAAUUGUUCUCUUUCUACAAUCAUUAGUAACACCGAUAAUAUGGCACAAGAAUGUAGGCAGUACUGCUAAGCUACAUUAUCAUCAACAUUGAAAUAACUUUGAUGGGAAAAGAGGGAAUCCUUUGAAAUACAUGAAUUUCAAAGGAAUCGAUUUAACAUAUAGAAGUAGGGUUUGUGAAAAAAAGACUAAGCUAAGCAUGUGUUUGGAUGGAGGAACCAACUAGAUUGGAGCAGGUUCGACCCGGUUUCUUGGCUGUUUGGUUUGUGGGUUCACGAGAAGUGGGUCGAACCCGGUAGAGAAUAUACUCUCCAAAUGUGGGUCGGGCACGAUACCAUGGAAUCGAUCAGACCGUCUCGACCUAGAUGGAGCGAUAGCGACACGGGGCCAGGUGAGCGCCGGUGGGCAUAGGUGGCCGUGCCACGCAGACGAGGCGAGCAGCGCGCCGAUGGUCGUGUCAGAUGGGGGGAGCGGCGUCGCACGGGGCCAGGUAAGCGCCGGCGCGCCAUAUCACCCGAGAGAGGCGAGCAGCGCAUAGGGCGAGCUCUGCCCUUGACCAUGGUGGCGCAUGCCGAGCUCCGCCCUUAGGAGGGCGGGCGCACAUUCGCGCGAAAGCUGUUGGAUUUAUUUUGGGCUAUGCUCAAUUAGAUUUAAUAAAUCAAAUAAACUCUAUGGUACGUAAUUAUGAAUAAUACGAGUUGUACCAGACAUGGCGAGGCGAGGGGAGCCAAGCAGACAGGCAUGCGGUGUAGUGAUGUGGUGUGUUAAGCACUCACUAAUUACAAGAGUUUCAACUCUGUGUUUAACUCACCAUUUGCUGUAGUAAUGUGGUGUGUUAAGCACUCACUAAUUACAGGAGUUUCAACUCCGUGUUUAAUUCACCAAUUGCUGUCCCUUCGGCUGUCAUCCCUUCCUCUCCUCCCUCUCCUGCCGCAAGGCUAUAAAGAGGACAUGUGCCUUUGGUCUGGUACACACACAACACACAACUCAGAACACAAUCCUGUUGCAAAGAAGGAAUCCUCAUCUCGUAACUCCGCGCGCACGGAGGAGCGAGAGGGCAGGUGCCUCCGAAGCCCUUGUCGUUCGAGACCUUGCACGAGAGAUCGGCAAUUAGGUUUUUUGGGGAGCGACUACGCGACUGCCCUAUUCACCGCCACUGUUCGUCUUCCUCAAGCUGGUUCGGGCGGAUUUCUUCUUCCUGGUGGAAAGAUCGUCUUCAUCCUCUACAUCAUUGAAAUUGGUCAAGGAUCGGGAUCAUCGGAGCGCACGGGAGGGUAUGAUCCGUUCAUCUUCCUGUUGUAUUUCGUCUUCCCAUGUUGCAGCAGUGUGUUUGUUUUGUUACGCAUACUAUCCUGGUUAUGUUUCAUAUGCUCUACCAUGUCUUUUCUGUUUUUAUCUUAUAUAUGUUUCUGGUAUAAGAUCUAUGUCAUGUCUGCUUGUUUCGCUGGUUAAGUUAAAACGUUUCAUAUGUUGUUGUCUCUAUGUUUCACUAGUGGUUCAGUCACGUCGUUUGACAUACUGUUUCUCAUAUUUUCAGUAGUUCUAUUUCGUCGUUUAACAUGCAGUCUCUUGUUUAUUGCUAUUUUAAGAUAUAUGUCUUGCCUUGUUAUUAUAUUUCAUAUAUUAUGCCUUUAUAUUUUUAAUAAUCACAUGUUCUACAUGUUCAUGGAUCACAUGUUCUAUAUUCCUAUGAACAUGUUUAAUAUCAUGAUUUUUAUGAUUAAUUAUAUUAUAUAUGUCAUCAUCAUAAUGUUGAUUUAUGGAAUUAAAAUGAUAUGGAAAUUGCCUAUAAUUCUAACAAUUCAAAAACCUAAAUAUAAUAGGCAUUUUUUCUGUCAGAGGUUUUGCUGCUACUUUGAAGCCUGAUUCUUUUGAUGGGAAACCUGCUAACUUACCUCCUGCGGAUGAGGCAAAGUUUAAGGUUGAUGACAACCUCUUUCGAGGUGCAGUAAUUAGCGCACUUGAUCCUAAGUUCCACAAAAGUUAUAUCAUCCAUCCUACAGGGAAAGAGCUGUGGGAUGCACUUAUGGGAAAGUUUGGAGUUACUGAUGCUAGUAGCGAGCUGUUUCUCAUGGAGCAGCUGUUUGACUACAAGAUGGUUGAGAACCAAUCUGUAGUGGAACAGGCUCAUGAGAUUCAGGCACUAGCUAAGGAACUUGAACUGUUCCCUUGUUUUUUGCCCGAUAAGUUUGUGGCUGGCGGUAUCAUCGCCAAGUUGCCACCUUCUUGGAAGGACUUUGGCACCUCUCUCAAACACAAGAGGCAAGAGUUCAAUGUUGAGGAACUCAUUGGUACUCUAGAUGUUGAGGAGAGGGCUAGAGCAAAGGACAAUGGGAAAGGUGUUGAGACCUCAUCUGCCAAUGUGGUGAAGAAGAAAUCUCACAAGUGGAACAAGAAGAUCUAGAAAAAGAAGGAGAACACUCCUAAACCCGUUCAAACCACACAGUUCAAGAAACAAAACAACAACAACAAGAAGAAAGGUGGCUGCUUUUUGUGCGGCAGUGAGGAUCAUUGGGCAAGUGAGUGCCCUGAUCGUAAGUUCAAAUACGAGAAGAAAGUUGUAAACAUGGUUACUACUAAAACUGGAGAUGGAACAUCUGGGUAUGGUAAUUCUUUACCAUUUGUUCUUUCAGUUUGUAAUUCACCUGAGUGGUGGAUGGACAGUGGUGCAAAUAUCCAUGUAUGUGCUGAUGUCUCUUUGUUUGCCACUUAUCAGGUCGGGAGGUCUGGCGCCUUGUUGAUGGGAAAUGGGUCGCGUGCUCAUGUUCUUGGUGUUGGUAUGGUCAUUCUGAAGUUUACUCCGGGAAAGACGGUGCCCUUGAAGAACAUACAACAUGUUCCCUCCAUCAAGAAAAAUCUUGUUAGUGCAUCUAUGCUAUGCCGAGAUGGCUAUAGAGUUGUUCUUGAAUCAAAGAAAUGUGUUGUGUCGAGACAUGGUUCAUUUGUGGGUAACGGAUAUCAUUGCGGAGGUUUGUUCCGCUUAUCGUUGCAUGAUGUUUGUAAUAAACUUGUGAAUUCUGUUGAUAUUUCUGAUGAGUCGGAUUUAUGGCAUUCACGGUUUUGUCAUGCAAGUUAUGGCUGUCUUAUGCGCUUAGCAAAUCUAAAUUUAUUUUGGGCUAGGCUCAAUUAGAUUUAAUAAAUCAAAUAAACUCUAUGGUAUGUAAUUGUGAAUAAUACGAGUUGUACCAGACAUGGCGAGGCGAGGGGAGCCAAGCAGACAGGCAUGCGGUGUAGUGAUGUGAUGUGUUAAGCACUCACUAAUUACAAGAGUUUCAACUCUAUGUUUAACUCACCAUUUGCUGUAGUAAUGUGGUGUGUUAAGCACUCACUAAUUACAGGAGUUUCAACUCCGUGUUUAAUUCACCAAUUGCUGUCUCUUCGGCUGUCAUCCCUUCCUCUCCUCCCUCUCCUGCCGCAAGGCUAUAAAGAGGACAUGUGCCUUUGGUCUGGUACACACACAACACACAACUCAGAACACAAUCUUGUUGCAAAGAAGGAAUCCUCAUCUCGUAAAUCCGCGCGCACGGAGGAGCGAGAGGGCAGGUGCCUCCGAAGCCCUUGUCGUUCGAGACCUUGCACGAGGGAUCGGCAAUUAGGUUUUUGGGGAGCGACUACGCGACUGCCCAAUCCACCGCCACUGUUCAUCUUCCUCAAGCUGGUUCGGGCGGAUUUCUUCUUCUUGGUGGAAAGAUCGUCUUCAUCCUCUACAUCAUGGAAAUUGGUCAAGGAUCGGGAUCAUCGGAGCGCACGGGAGGGUAUGAUCCGUUCAUCUUUCUGUUGUAUUUCGUCUUUCUGUUCGUACAUGUUGCAGUAGUGUGUUUGUUUUGUUGCGCAUACUAUCGUGGUUAUGUUUCAUAUGUUCUACCAUAUCUUUUCUGUUUUUAUCUUAUAUAUGUUUCUGGUAUAAGAUCUAUGUCAUGUCUGCUUGUUUCGCUGGUUAAGUUAAAACGUUUCCUAUGCUGCUGUCUCUAUGUUUCACUAGUGCUUCAGUCACGUCGUUUGACAUACUGUUUCUCAUAUAUUUCAGUAGUUCUAUUUUGUCGUUUAACAUGCAGUCUCUUGUUUAUUGCUAUUUUAAGAUAUAUGUCUUGCCUUGUUAUUAUAUUUCAUAUAUUAUGCCUUUAUAUUUUUAAUAAUCACAUGUUCUACAUGUUCAUGGAUCACAUGUUCUAUAUUCCUAUGAACAUGUUUAAUAUCAUGAUUUCUAUGAUUAAUUAUAUUAUAUAUGUCAUCAUCAUAAUGUUGAUUUAUGGAAUUAAAAUGAUAUGAAAAUUGCCUAUAAUUCUAACAAAAGCAACAGUAGUGGCAUGCCUAGGCAAGAUUCGCAGUGAUCGGUGACAAAGUGGGCACAUGUGGAAUUUGCGGUGGUUGCUCCAAAACUGACGAACAGGUCCGUACAGGCAGGCGAGUAGGGGCUGUGCCUAAGCAGAGAACACGGUGAGAGGAUGUCGUAAGAAGAAAGGAGGGAUGACAAGCUGACGUACAGGACCCAUAUGACAGGAAUCUGAACCCACCUCCUUUUCAAAAAAAAAAAGGAAUCUGAACCCACUUACCUCCAACCAAACACAGACGUGGGAUAUCACGUUCGCCUAACCAAAGGCGAGAUGGGUCCAAUCCACCCCUUGUGGUCCAAAUCUUUGGACAGUGACUAGCUAUCUACCAUCUUCACUGACUGAUGUGAUGGGAUUUGCUGACUGAUCUGAUAUAAGACCAGUGGGGGACUUAACGGAAUUCUAAUUAGUAAGGACGACUCAAGUUUUUCUUCAAUAUUAUCGCUCAAAUGAUAUAUGAUUAGUGGUGAACUUAACGGAAUUCUAAUUAGUAAGGAUGACUCAAGCUUUUCCUCGAAAUUAUCGCUCAAAUUAAAGGGCAUGGCCAGACGCUAAAUAAAGAAUCGAAGUGGCAGACAUGGUAGCGCAACAUCACACCGGAAACAUCUAUAAUCCUGUUCGGACAUGUUGUUGUUGUUUUGGCAGGCAACAAAUAUGUCACGCACGACUCACGAGCCUAAUUGUUGUUUACAGUAUAUUUGUGUGGACCAAAAUGCUGAUGGGUUGGUGAGCAAACACCAAACAGACGACCCUACAAACAGAGGGCACAGCUAGCGAGGAUGGGAGACCAGAUCAGUAAGGUCUUGUUUAGUUCGUAAAAUUUUUUGUUUUUGGUACUGUAGCAUUUCGUUUUUAUUUGACAAACAUUGUCUAAUCACGGAGUAACUAGACUCAAAAGAUUCAUCUCACAAAUUAUAGGUAAACUAUGCAGUUAGUUUUUAUUUUUGUUCAUAUUUAAUGUUCCAUGCAUGUGGCCAAAGAUUCGAUGUGACGGGAAAUCUUGAAAAUUUUUGCGAACUAAGGCUUUGUUUAUAUGAAAAAAAUUUUUAGAUUUUGACACUGUAUCACUUUUGUUUUUAUUUAACAAACAUUAUUUAAUUAUAGAGCAACUAGGCUUAAAAAAUUCGUCUCAUAAUUUACAGGUAAACUGUACAAUUAAUUAUUUUUUUAUCUAUAUUUAAUGUUUCAUACAUGUGUCGUAAGAUUUGAUGUUAUGAGAAAUCUUGUAAAGUUUUGGUUUUUUAGGUGCAUCUAAACAAAGCCUAAGUAGUGUGUUUGCAUGAGAGUGAUCCAUGUGCCUACUCCAUCGGUCCUAAAUUAAUUAUCAUUAUUAUUUUGAUAUCACAAGUUUAACUCGAUUUAUAUUAAAUACGUUCAAUGUUUAUAUCUUCAAAUAAAAUUGUUAAAAAACUAGAUUUAAAAAUAUUUUUUAUAAUACUAAUUAUAUACCACAAAAAUUAAUAAUUUUUAUAUAUAUUUAGUUAAAAUUGUGUCUCAACAAGCGUAAACAAUAAUUAUUUUGAGAGAGAGAGAACGCUACAACUGUAAAAGAGCAAAGCUAGGAAGGUUCAGUACUGACAGUUAAUAUCAUGCCCCGUGGGUGAAAGAAUCCUGAACAUUGCUAACUUAUUCUAUGGCGUACAGUGUAGCAAUAAUAACAGCUCAUACGAUUAAGGCCUCGUUUAGUUCACCCAAAAAUCAAAAAGUUUUUAAGAUUAUCUGUGACCAAUCUUUCGGCAUAUGCAUGAAGGCAUUAAAUAUAUAUAUGAAAAUAAAAACUAAUUCCACAGUGUAACUGUAAAUCGCGAGACGAAUCUUUUAAUCCUAGUUAGUCCAUGAUUGGACAAUAUUGGCCUCAAACAAACGAAAGUGCUACAGUAGCGAAAUACAAAAAAAUUUCGCAUCUAAACAAGGCCUAAAAUAUUCCUUACCAACAGAACAGUUAUGAACUAUCCAUAAGCAAUAAAAAAAUUAUUAUUGUUCGCUUGAAUUUAUUAACUAGAAUCAACCAUUAAUCACAGUGUUUUGUUUCACAAUAAAUUAGCAUCAGCCGUAGAAACAAUACACCAUAGCAAAAACUACCCAUAAAGUUAUGAACUACCUAAGUAAUAAAAAAAUUAUUAUUAUUUCCUACUCACCUCUCUCUCUCCCUGGCUGGAAGGGUGGAAGAGUUUUUCUUUAUCUCUGAGGGAACCCUCUUUAUACACUACUAGUUCGCUGAGCAUUGUAAAUAAAUAAUAGUAGUUAUGGAUGGGUCCUAUGUAUAUGAACUAUGGAUGAGUCCCAUAGUAGUUAUGGAUGGGUCCUAUUGUAGCUGCCCUUAGUGAUGCGAGUGUCUGAUUAAAUAAGUUAAAAUUUCUUAGCUACUUCUAACCAACCAAGAAGAUUGUAAUCAAUCAAUCUUAAAUUUAAUCAUAGGGUAUUGAUCACAUUUCAUGCCAUAUGUUUGUGUCUAAAUCUGGUUAAGUCCAUCAAAGAGCUAGAAGACAAGUUCAGGAGCAGGUUCACUAAGCAAAAUAAAGAUGCCACAUUAGUGUCGUUACCAUUGGAGCAAAAAAAAUGUCUUCAACAUCAACUUCUAUAUAUUCCCCCCAGAUUUACUACGUGGAUGCACCCACAACUAUUUUACAUGUAGCUAAUAUUGUCGUAUCCACAUGAGCUAUGUCUUCAACAUUAGUUUCUAUGUAGUCCUUUGUGACACCAGCGAUGAUGAGAUGAGAACAAAGUAAUACUACCGUACUCCCUCCGUCCCAUUCAAAUGUUAUUUUUGAUUUUCAAAUUUCUUAUUUAAUAAUUCACCUUAUUCAAUUUUUUAUGCAAAAAGUAAAAUAAAUAAAUUAUUGUUAAAAUCUUUUUACUAACAAAAUAAAUUAAGAUAAAAAAUAAUAUUUAUAUAAAAUUUUUGAAUAAGAUAAACGGUCAAUCAAGGAGCCUUGAGUGAGUAGUUGUUUGGAAAGAUUCUCUUACUUUUUGCGCAACGACACAGGAAGGUGUGGGGUCACUAGGGACAGCAUCAGUUUCAUACUGUUCGACCAUAGGCCACAGCGUAAAAUAACAAUCAAGGUCCAGUUCUUGUUUAGUUAUAUCUGAAAUUCAAAAACUUUUGAAAAUUUUUUAUCACAUUAAAUUUUGUGAUACAUGCAUAUAGCUUAAAUAUAGAGAAAAAAUAACUAAUUGUACAGUUUAUUUGUUGUAAGAUAAAUCUUGUAAACCUAGUUAGUUGAAUAAUAAUUGUUACAUACAAACAAAAUGUUCCAGUAUCAGCUAAGGAACUAAACAAGGCCCAAGCUCUCAAAAAACGCUCGCAUGUGCAAAAGGUAGGAGGAAUAACCGUGCACGCUAAUGCCAUUGUUUAGUUUCUCCCUUAAAGUGUACUUCAUAUCCUAUUGGAUAUUUGAACACAUACAUGGAUUGUUAAAUAUAGACUAAAAAUAACUAAUUGUGCAGAUUACGACUAUUUUAGAGAUAAAUUUUUUAAGUCUAAUUAGUCCAUAGUUUAACAAUAUGAUGCUACAGUAAAGCUAUAGUAAACAUGUGCUAAUAACGGAUUACUUAAUCCUUAAUAAAUUCAUCUUGCGGAAUACUAAGGACUUUUACAAUUUAUCUUUUUAUUACUAUACGAACAUUCCCAUAUGACAUCCAGAUGUCAUAGCCGAGGUCAUACCCAAAAUUUUACACCCUGAUCUAAACAAGGUCUUACUAUAACUUUUGUUUUGCCUCGGAUGUGAACAAGUGAUCAUUUACUUUUAACUACAACACCUAGGGCCUACACUGUCACUUCUACUAGUUUAUUAGCUAACCUAGGUUGAAGAAUGCAAACAAGUCAUGAUUCUCUUUGUAGAUGGUAAACCUUAAGUGUAGGUCAAAUAUCAUUCUUCAUUUAUACAUCAUCUUGUUCUGUAUGAGGAUAUACUCUAGUGUACUAACAAUAAACUUUUAUCUUGCUCUUUCUGUUUCCUGCCCUAGUUUUAUUCCGUAUGACAACUCUCUUGAAUCUUGUGUCAAAUUUAAAUCCAAACUAUGUGGUUGAAGUUGAGAGCUUUAUCACAGUGCUUCCAUCCACAAAAACGAAUGCAAUUCUCCUACUUCGAGGAGUCAAGUAAAUUUGACUUUAACUCAAGUUAUAUAAAAAUUACCAAGAUUCUUGAUACAAAAUAAGCAUCAUUAAAUUAGCUAUAGAAUAUAUUUUCAAAAUAAAUUUAUUUGGAGACACAAAUACGAAUAUUAUUAUUAUAAUCUUUAGUUAAAUUUGAUUUAAUUUGAAAAACACAGAUACUAUAAUUACAUGGUUUUAUGGACGGAGGGAGUACUAUACACUUACCGUAUCGUGCCAGCUGCGUGGAGUAAGAGGAGCACACCUUCGGGAUGAUGAAGACCCCAAAGAAGACUGCAAACGCAGCCGAACAAAGACACGAGAAGUCAGUGACUGCAGUACAUCUCGCUGCACCUUUAUCUGUACAUGUAAACUUGCUCACGCUCGUGGUCCCUAUAUUUCCUAUGGUUCAAGCUAAAGUUACUGCAUCAUAACUGUAACAAAACAGUUCAUGAAAGGCUAUCCCCUCCCACGGCUUGUUGAAAUGAAGAAACAGAAUUUGCACCAAAAAGAAAGUAAUGAAGAAACAGAAGAGGUUCCCAGGGGCGAAAGGAAUUAGAGAGAAGGGAGUGAAAGAUGUUGCAUAGAUGGUAAUGCAUGUAUUAUCAGCUGUAGGAGGUAGUAGAACUUACCCAGUUUAGCCAGUGUCCAGAGGGUGAUAAAAUUACCACACCGGGCCAUCGCAAACAGUAGCAGUGCCAGCUGCAGACCAGAACACAUGUGUCUACUUGUCAGUACAAAUCCAGAGAUGCGCGUCUAUGCGUUGCAGGCAUCUCGGAGUAUGCCAGAUACUACAUGUACGGAGUACCAGAUAGUACAGUGUUUUUCUCUCUUUUGUUUUUGCCUAAUAUUCACAUGAAGGCACAGCACCUUUCUUUCUCUGUUUUUACCUACCUUCAUGGUUGUCACAGGCUCACCGGAGAAGAGAGACCUCAGAUUCAGGAGCACCUCAUUGAUAUAUGGCAGCACCAGCCUCAGCAGCCAGAUGGCCUCCUCCUCCCCAACCAGGUAGCACCUCUCGCCAAUGCCUUCAUCGUCACACUCCAAAUUUUCACCCCUGCAUUUUUACCCAGCAGUGAAAAGUUACCAUGGUUAAUGACACAAUAAACGAUUUACUUUGAAUUUGCUUGCGCGUGAUUAUGUUGGUCCUCUGAGGAGAUUAGCCUUUUACCUGUUCAGUAUGGACUUCCGCAGGAACCGUAGACCAAGGUAGAUUAGGCCUGCAUAUGAUGCUGCCGUGAUUGUGCUGCGGAAUGCAUAAAGUUUGGUGGGGAAGGUUAGGUAAUUGCUGUCAGUUUUGUUACUAUCAACGCUUUUAGAUUCUAGUAACUUCAUAGUUACAGGUGCAGCAAAUAUUGAAGAGCGAGUUACUUGAAAUUUAGGUCCUUGGCGUAGGAGGAUGAGAUGAGCAAGAAAGUCCCUAAUCCAAAAACCAAUGCAGACUUUGACACAUCUCUCCACAUCACCAAAUUCACUGGGAUACCAAGGUGCAGAAAGGAAAGGGAAGAGCCAUCAGACCCUGACUGAUUCUUGAACUAGAAUAUCAGAUUCUUUGAGUUGUUGGGAACAAAAGCAUGCAUAUGGAUUUGUGCCAUGGUCUCAUGGAGGCUAGUAAUAGACAUUACCAAUAUUCUGCAUUCUUGCUUGACUUCUGCUGGGUUGAGAUGGUCUUCCUUGAAUCUCCACAUACUCUUCAACUUCAAUCAAACCAAGACAAUUAAUCAGAAAAUAAUAACAACUAGGUUUACCUCAAAAAAAAAAUAAUAACAACUAGAUGAUCCAAAAAUUACAUCUAGGCUGACUUUUCAGAAUCAAAUAUACCUGGAGAAGUAGGCUUUGCCGGCUCCAAGUCGGUCAUGCGGUGAACCACUAUCGGUGUCGCCUUCUUCUCGACUGCAUUCCGGCAGGAUGGGAGCAGCGAUUGGUGUAAGACAGAUAUUUACCUGAAGUAGCGUGAGUUUUGCAUUUGGUGGAAUAGAAAUUCACCUGGUGGAGGGGUCAUGGGUUCCGGGUUGAUUGCUCGGAGAUCGACCACCGAGGCUAAUUUCUUCCCUGGACCAUCAAUGAACAGGAAUAUAUGGAUGAGUCGAAUCCAUCGCAGCCAAACACGCAAAAAAGGGCGAAGUGAUCGAAGGACUGAGAUUCACCUGGAGGCCGCUUCACCGGCUCUGGGUUGGUCGCUCUCUCUUCUUCUACCGACGGCGUUGGCUUAAUACCUGCCACAUUAGCGGCGAUGCAGUUCGGAGGCAAGAACACAACAGUCAGGAAAUGAAAAGAAAAGCAAGGAAAAUGUGGAGGAGAAAACAGGGACAAAAUUGGCAGAGGCACCUUUUGUCGGUGGCCCAAGAUCUUGGCCGUCGUCGUCCUCCACUGCAAUACGGUAGCAAUUGAAGAGCACAGUGACAUUAUUAGUGUGUUCAUCGACAAGUGAAUCAGGCAAAGACACUACGACAGUGGGGAACUAAGGAUUCUUGCCUUGGUCCAGAGCAGUUUGUUCGUUGUCAAUGGCCAUGUGAUCCUGAUCCAGCAUCUCCUUCUCUUCCUCCUCUGUCUGAUCCAGCUCCUCGUCCAAUAAUUCAUCCUCCGCGUCGUCGUCGUCCAACUCCUCAUCUGGUUGUUGCACCACGUUCUUGGCGUCUGCCGCCGCGGCCUUGUGCACUUCCACGACCACCACCUCCUUGACCUCGCCGGCGGCCGCCGCGGGCGCCACCUUCUUCUCGGGCUUGGAUACCGGCGCCACGGCCCGCCUGGCAACCACCGCAGUGGUGGUGGUGGCCGUCGUCACGGCGGCGGCGGCGUCGGAGCGCGUCGUGCGGAGAUCCCCAAUCGCGGUGACCGGCUCAGAAGCCUUCCAGCUGCGCCUCUUCUUGGCGGCCGCGGCGCUGGCGGCGCCCGCGGCACCGGUGCCGUUGCCCUCGCUCUGGUUGCGGCGCAGGCGGCGGUAGACCCGCAUGCCCUCCUCGUCCGCCGGCUCGUCGGCGGCGCCGGCGCUGAAGACCUUGACGCCGCCCUUGACCUCGUCCAUCUUCAUCCGCGCCUCCCACACGGAGGACGCCGAAGUGGUGACGGCGGCGCUCCUGGUGGACUGCACCGAGACACGCCUCCGUCCACCGGUGGUGGCGGUAUUGGAAACCGUGCCCCCGGACUGCAUUGCUUUAUGCCUUGGCCUUGCUGUGGGGCGUCUUGGUUGUGCUCUGUCUGCGCUUGGUUGCUUGCGCUUGGAGGCUCCUGGUGCUCCUUCCCUUCUGAUGGCGCUGCGGGCUGUCCCCUUCCGAAAUUCCUUCCCUGCUCUGCCUUCUGCUGCACUCAAAUCUCGGGGUUAGGGCGAGAGUGGGCUAGCAGGGUGCCGCAGGCUUUACCGUUGUAAAUCCGAGGGGAUCCUUUACCCUUUAUUUUUCUCUUUGGGGAGGUGGAUGAGGGAGGUGGGGUUGGAGCGGAAAAGGAGGCACUGAGGGAGGACUAGAGGAUAGGUAAAGCUUUGGGCGCUUUUGGUUUGGUGGAUCGGCCAGCAGAGCAGACGGCAGGUUCUCUGAUCUGAUCGGGACUCACGUCUGGUGGUGGGGUGGUGCUGGCAGAGCAACUGGGGGCAGAUGUCUCUUCGGGUUCUUUGGCUGGCGGCCUCCAGGGCAGGUUCGUCUCCUCCGGCCGGCCUUGCCGCCUGCCUUGGCCCUUCGGACCUUUUGGUAUGGCACUGGCAAGCGAGGGGGAGAGAGAAACGAGUCACGCGCUCUUGGCGGCUGCGUUUGUCUCCGUGGGCUGCUGAAACCACUUCCGGCCGUAUUUAGUUCCUGUCCACAAAAAUCACGUGCUAUCUGUGAUAAUUAUUGUCCAACCUUGACUUAUUAGACUUAAAAUAUUCAUCUUGUAAAUUUCAACUAAACUAUGUAAUUAGUUUUUAUUUUUAUCUAUAUUUAAUACUUUAUACAUGUUUUUAAAGAUUCGAUGUGACGAUAAAUCUUGAAAAAUUUUAGGUUUUAGGCGAAAGUAAACAAGGCCUUAAGCUUGAGGCGUCAAGGUAUGACAUCAGUCACGUCGUGCGUGUAUGUUUGCAUGGAUGAGGCCAUCCUACACCGGGAGGAGAAGCUGUACACGUUAGCUUAUGCACUGUAGCAGUAAAUAAAUGGAGGUAUAUAUCUCUCACCUCAGUCCUCCCCUCGUAAAAAACUACCUCCUCCCAAAACCUCCUCUCGGUCUCUCUUCCUUAGUACUCCCGAGGCCAGGCCAACAGCACUAGGCGUCAGCUGUGCAUGGCGACGCCCUCGUCCACCUCCGUCGCCUCCUCCUCUCUUCCCUCCCCUUCCUCUAUAUCUCCCAUGAGCGUGGCGGAGCUCUCAGCCUACAGCGCUGCGCAACGCGGGGCCACCGACGGUGGCCAUCCUCGGCCCUAGCGCGGCACGACUAGCCCGCUACAGUGGCCUCCGGCGUGGCUGCACUCCCCAGCGCUUCCUUCUCCAUCUGGUUUGCAUGUGCUCCUUUUUUCACAAAAACCUAACCGCCUUAGCUACAGGUAACGACACACCAACGCCGGCCCUACCCUCUACGGCGGUCUCCUUCUCCCGCGUCCCGGUGCUUGACGGUGGCAGUCCUCCAUUUGCUGCGCUUUUUGGCUACCUCCUUCCAAAUCCUCCUCUCGGUUUGUCCUCCUCGUCUCCCUCCUCGGUCCUCCCGAGGCUAGGCUAAUGGCAUUGGGCAUCAGCUAUGCGCCACGGCCGCCUCAUCUGACUCCACCUCGUCCUCCUCCUCUAUUCCCUCCCCUUGCUCUCUCUCUCUCCCUUGAGCAUGGCGGUGCUCCUGCCUUGCAGCUUGGCACAGCACGGGGUCCACGCGCGGUGGCCAUCCCCGGCCAUAGCGUGGCGCGACCGGCCCACGGUUGUGGCCUUCAGCGUGGCUGCCUCCCCAGCACUUUGUAACAUCUCGUCUCCACGAGGCCAGACCCGCUUACAUCAAAUAGCUUUUCUAGGACAUAGGCUACCCUCACAAACCAACACUAGUCUUUUUUCUGCACUUUGUCCUCACUCGUGUGCACCCAGGAAGAACUUUCUGAUUGGUCACCCAUCCCUAACUUUCUCUAGUCCAAGCACGCUUAACUUUAGAGUUCUUUGGAGAUGGGCUUCCGAAAAAGAAGUUGCAACUUAUUGAUAUCAUGCUUAAUUAUGCCAUAGUUCCAAGAUAAAGAUCACACACACACACACCACAUAUCAUGCUUGCUACUUCUACACUAGAAGUACGCCAAAACAUGCUAUCCAUUUUCACCAUAAAGAUGCUCGAUGUUCUAAGGUUUAAAAUAUUUCUCUAAACAAGGCUUGUGUAGAUGAGACAUAAAGGCUAUUAAAAAAUCAUUGCUGUGAUGUCUCAAGUAAAAUAAAAUAGAGAGAGAUCUUAUCAAAUAGAGGAGUAUUCUACUCUAUCAUUUUCCACACACUUGCACAUCUUUAUCUAGGAUUAUGACAAUCUUCUCCUAGGUUCCUUGUUUUGACUUUAUAAUAUAUGCAAUGCAAGUAGGCUAUCUUGUUCAUCCUUACCUAAGCCCCAUAUAAGCCUAUAGAUGUAGGAUGAAACAAAAGAAGGCAAUCUUAUGCCAUGCCUUGUUAGGAAUCAUAUACAUACUGAGUGAUUUGAGAGUGCUAUUUGAGGAAUAAGAAGGAACUAUGUGCUUUCUUUUAAAACCAUUAUAUAAACUCUAAGUACCAAGAAUAACAAAUAGGGAGAUAACUUUGCCUUGAAAAUAAUCACAACUUGCUCAAAAUAGCCCACAAGACAGUUUGUGGUGAUGGUUCAACACUUAGAAACUUUUCUAAGUCCUUGGGUGAAUGCAAUUUGCGUGAAGGGAUGUUGGGAGCUCUAUAACUUUGCAUCCAAGCCGAUUUAGCGUUUGCUCCAAUUGACAUAGUUGUAGAUAUCGUGUAGUUCUCCAAGUUUGUUAACUACACCAUCUUCUAAUUUGCCACAGUUUGGGAGUUAAUCACUGCCAAUCUUCCUCUGUUAGUUGUCGAUUGAAACACUGAUUGGCAGGCUUCAGUCGCCGUCAUGGCUGACCGGCACAAAGAUCAAGCGCAUUUGGCAUCCGUACGCUGGGCCCUGCUUGUCAGCCCAGCGUCGCUGCAUGACCUCCGCGCCAAUGCCCCGUCUAUCUCGGCCACGCUCACUAGCUCUCCCACUCGCUUGCACACUGUUGGGUAUUUUAAACGCAAACAGAAAGAUCCGCAAGCGUAUGGAUACCGAUGUAGCUUUCACCCGGGAGUAUUCCAAAGUAUCGAUUUUCCACAGGGAACGUGAGUGUACUAAUUAAGAUUCAAGAUCGCCCAAGGAUAACUAUAUUAACUAUUUUUGGUGGGAAGAGAGAAAGUUUCCUGAGAGUUCUCUAGUUGAUCUAAGAAUCAAGAAAUACUUCAAAGAUUAUUUAUUUCGGGACAUCAGAACACUAACCACAGAAAAGAGAUGAGAAGGGAGGAAGCUCUGACUACAGUCCUGCAAACACCAAUCUGAACGAGGUGGAAUACGUCGACCGUUAGGGCUGUCACUACCCUAGGGUUACCACAACAAUCCGCAGGAUUGGGUACAAUUCCAGGUAAUUGCAAGACUAAACACCACAUCUAAUCUAUUAAUUACUACUCUAGGGUUGCAAAGACUAGAGCACUUGAUGCAAGCAGGAAUCCAAUAAAUAACUUGAAUAUAAAUAAAAGUAAUUAAAGAACUCAGGAAUUAUGAAUUGAAGAACUUGGAGAACGAUGAAGAAUGAACCAGUUCCUGCAAAAGUACAAUGUUGAGGAAGAUCCGACAGAUCAGGCUCCUCCUCCGCUCUCCUCUUCUCUCUCCCUAUUUUCUAGAUUACAACUAGAACUAGAACUAGAUGAACUAGAACUAGAACUAGAACUAGAUGAACUAGAGGGAUCCUCUCUACUUGGAUGAAUAAUUGAAACCCUAGCUUUGAUUCUGUUGAAGAUAUAUGCCUCUAGGGGCUGGUGGGGGCUGUUUAUAUAGUUCCUCCAAAUGAAUAUGGACCGUCGGAUCAAAGCGACCUUAAUCGCACGGUUUUCCUUAAUCCUGUAGGUCGGUGGAGCAUUAUCCGUGAGAUGGAGCCUGAUUGGCCCAGGCAGCAGGGCGGGCACCCUGCCCCCAGGCCCGCUCGGCCUCCCGUUCGUUCUCGUGGCUUCUGGAGUCUUCUAGAUGAUAGAAAAUUGGUGCACACGUUAAUAUCUCUAUGUAAACCCGACGUGUGGGCUUUUCCUCCAUAUUUCCUGAUAACCCCCUGUAGAAAUAGACAAACACCAAAACUUGUGGAAUUCUGUCAGCUAAAACCCUAAGUCUGGGUGUUGGUUGCAUUUGGAUCCUUUUCCAUGAUUAGUUGACGCUUAAAUGUGAGCAUUAAGGACCAUCAACAAGCUCCCCCAAGCGUAACCUUUGCUCGUCCCUGAGCAAAGCUAAAAUCAGCAAGAAAACAGGGGUUACUUUUAUGCCUCUUACUACAGGGUUUUUAAGUUAUCACUAAGGUCUUAAGUGAUUGAAAAACAGAACGAUCAAGUCAAGCACUAUGUCUCAAGUUCUCUGUCUUACCUUUGUUCUGGAGUUUUUUGUAAGUUUCCAAAAUAAAACUGAGGCAUUUGCCUUCUUCUCGAAAGAUAUAUAAGUAGAGCUUUAAAAGUUUUAGCAUACUUACUUUGCAUUUUUGCUAUGUCAAUGCUCGGAGCAAGGGAGAGGAAUGUCAUAUUCCUAGAUCAAGACCUUUGAUCUUUUUUUGAAAAGUUUGUCAUCUAUUACUGGUAUAUUGCUUAUUAAAGGGACCAUGGGCUAUCAUUUUGUUUUCUUUCUUUUUUUCAGUCUCUCUCUCUUUUUUUUCUUCUUUUUUUUCCAGUGGGCAUCAAGUACCCCUAAUUCUACUAUCGGACACGUGUCCAUUUUUUUCACUCAGGUGGGUAUCUUUGUACCCCUAAUUCUACUUCGGAUACUUGUCCAUUUUUACCUUUCGUCUCGCUCUUUUUUUAAUCAAGUUUUUGCAUAGUCCCAUGCCUCUUACGCAAUAAUACUUCGGAAGAGUGAAUCGUUUAUAUUUUUAAAACAAAAAGAUCUUGAUCUUUGGAGCAUGAUAAUUCUCUCAACCAAAACUACAAGAAUUAACAAUGGCUUGAACUAAGCAAGUGCCCAUAGUUUUAAUAUUUAUAUCUUAUAAGACUCUAGGUAUUAUGUCAAACAGGAUAUCUUUUUUUUUGAAUUUUAGAUUUUCAAAAGAUAAAAUCUCCAGAACUCUAGCGAAACUUGGAACAAGUUAAAUAGUAGCUCAGACCUUCUCAUAUUAUGUUUGUCAAUUACCUAGACUUGGAUUAAAUAGUAACUUUCCUUUUAUUUUAUUUAAAACUUAGGAUUACACAAAAUUAUUGUAUAUUACUCAAAAGAAAAACUUUGUUUGGUUUCAUGGUUAUGCAUUUUUUUAUUUAUUUCCGAAUACUAGUAAAUAGAACCAAGAAAGAAAAGUAAUACUUAUCUAGAUACAUGUGAGAGUGCCUCCCCUAAGCUGGAUGUUGAUAUAGUCGUUCACUCUUGUGGCCUGCAUGUUCGGUCUCACUCUUCUUAAGCCUCAAAAUCAUGCACAACCCAAAUAGACAACAAAACUCGUGGAGCAUGUUAAGGGUUAGAUAAUUGUCUAGAGCUUAUAAGAGCUUAGUGGUAGAAUUCUAUGAACUCAAUCACAUCAAGUUCCCCUACCAGGUUGUUUUGUGGCUCGUGAUAGAUUUUCAAGCGUUGACCAUUUACCUUAAAAGUGUUACCUAUGUCGUCUUGGAUGGUAAUGGUUGUUGAUGAUUCUUAAGUAUCAAUUUUAAUUAUUAAAUAAACAAGGGAAAGGACCAAUAUACAAACAACACCUAGAAUUAGGGUUUGAUCUGACAGAAUUUCACGAGUUUUGUUGUUUAUCUGUUUCUGCAGGGGGUUAUCAGGAAAAAUAUGGAAGAAAGGCCCACAUGUCGGGAUUACAUAGAGAUAUCAACGCACCGUGCAAUGUUCUACCAUCUAGAAGACUCCAGAAGCCACGAGAACGAAGCGGAGGCAGAACGGGGCCUGGCCCAGGGCGCCCGGCCUGGGGACUAGGGCGCCCGCCCCCCUCUGGAGUCCAAUCAGGACUCUGUUUCGGGAUUACGCUCCACCGACCUAAAGGAUCAAGGAUAACCGUUCACUCAAUGUCGGUUUGAUCCAACGGCCCGCGUUCACCUGAGGGUACUAUAUAAGCAGACCCCCUGGCCCCUGGGGGAGACACAAGUUCAUCGUAGAGUUGAGGGGAGCCCUUGAAGGAAUACCUCUCCUCUAAAUAGACUUAGGGCUUAGCAUCCAAUGUGACUAGAAUUAGAUCUUCUAGUUUCUACUAGAUUGAGAGAGAUAGAGUGGAGGUGUAGAUCGGAGGAAGCCCGGCCUGUCGGUGUCUACUUCGAGGUUGUACCUGCGGGAUCAAGUUCUCAUAACCCGAAGCUUGCUCCUAGGAUUCUUCAGUAUUUCGACAUCUAAAUUCUAGUAAGUUCUUGUUUUAUUGUUCUUUGGUUUAUGAGUUUACUUUAAUCUCUUCGCGUAGAGUUUAGAGUAAUCAUCUCUAGCGUAGACGUGGUGUUUGGGCUAGGAUACUCAUAGAUAUUCCCUGACUAGCUGGACCGUAGUUGUAGCGACGAACGUGAUAUUUCCGAGUUACCUUUGCAGACCAUAUCUCGUUAGCAGGAAGGAUAGGGUUUAUAGGUGCGGGUUGAACAUCCUCUGUGGUGUCUAGAUUCCGUAAGCUUCCCCAAUAGAACAGUAGAUCAUCCUUACCAAGGUUAGAAAGAGAUUACGGUUGUAGUCUUCUCUAUAUAUCACUCACAUCGAGAAACAUUCUUUGUAGCCUAAAGGUUAGUAGUAAUAGACUGGGUUAGUUAGAUGCACUCUUUCUCCUAGUGGUAAAAAUAUAAAUACGAUACUCUGGAUAACCUCCUGGGUGAAGUGCUCACCGAUAUCCGUGCGCUUGCGGAUAAAUUCCUUAUUGCGUUCCCAAAUAUCAACAUGCAUUUCUGGCGCCGUUGCCGGGGAGAAAGACGGUUUGCUGAGAUAACCUUGAGUCUUACUACUAGCUUGUAUCUAUACUUUUAUCUUUUCUUAUCUUUUAUAUUCUUUUAUUUUCUCUAUUCUUACCUUAUGGAAAACCAAGAUUCUAAAUCAAUCUAUCAAUUUGAAACACCUUUGGAAAGUGACCUUUUACCAUGGGAGUCAUCAGAGCCUAUCCAAACAUCCCAGUAUAGGUUAUGUUCCAGGUUAAUUGCCAUGAUUCAAAACCUAUCUUUUUUAGGAAGGGAAGACGAAAACCCUUUCAUAUUAGAGAUUUUGAGCAAACAUGUGAUUGUCUUCGCAUUGAAGGCAUUUAUAAUAAAACUUUACGUUGGAAGCUUUUUCCUUUUUCUUUAAGGGGAGAAGCUAGACAAUGGUAUAAUCAGAAGGUAAGUCAACCACGAGGUGAAUGGGGAGUUUUACGAGCCAACUUUUGUAUAGAUUUUUAUUCCCUCGACCGUAUCGGCGACCUUAGACUAGAAGUCCUAUCUUUUAAACAAAAAGAUAAUGAAACUUUAGGAAAAUCCUGGAAACGUUUUUCUGAUCUUUUAGAAUCUGGUCCAAAUCUUAAUCUUGAAGUCCCUGUUCUUUUAUUUCACUUUUUCUGAGGUCUUCAGAAAGAUCAUAAACAAAUGCUACAUACAAUGUCUAGAGGUUCUUUCUUUCGCAUCCCUACUGAUGAUGCUAGAGUGAUCCUAGAUAGAAUCCUAGAAGCUGAGAUGGAUAAUACCCUUCAUGAUGAAACCCACGAAGCCGAAGUAGACACUCUGCCAAAUUCUCCAUCUACUUUAGCUAUCCCAAGUUCUGAGCCACAAAAGGAAGAAAUUCCACCACCUGAUUUCAUGCUGGAUAUAGAACCAGAUCUCUUUGCCGAUUUUGGAAACAUUUCAAACUACCAUUCUAUUAACAGACCCCAAAAACAGCCAUUUUAGCAUUUGUUUACCAAGUGAACAUCAAUUAAGAGAGCUUAUCGCAGUCAUGAGUAGCGAAUGGUUGGAGGAAUCAGAGCUUUCCUCUGAUGUGAUCCGUUUGGACACACUUCUAUAACUAUACGCUGUGCUUAUGAUUCUGAUCAAUUUGAUGCUCUCUAUAAUCAUGUUGUGGGGAUCAACAUCAUGUCUGAAUCUUUUGCACUUAAAUUAUUUAAAAAUUUGGUCCUAACCUCCACAACAAGGGUCAUAAAGGAAUCUUCGGGACGAUUAGUCCCCAGUCUUGGAAUUAUUAAUGUCCUACCUUUAUUGGUAGAAGGCUCCAUGGUUCAUUUGAACUUUUAUAUCUUUGAUACAUGGGACUUCGACCUGUUGAUAGGACAACCUUUUAGAAGACUCCUUUAUGAAGGUCAUACUAGAAAGCUACACAUUUCUUUUGGAAAAACUUUUAAAUUUUCCAUAACAAUUUCUCACUCCUUAAAUAAUAAGGCUGAGUCAUAUCUUUUGCCUGAUCCUAUGGAGGAGGUAAAGGCUGCAUCUCUAGAGUUUUUAGAAGAACCAGACUUAGAAGACGAAGCUCCUUUCUUCAUAGAAGAAGAAGAUGAACCAUCUGAACCUGAACCCUUAGAUGAGUUUGCAGAAACGCCUAGACCUCCCAUAGAGCUUAAAACUUUACCACCCUGUCUUAUCUAUGCUUUCCUAAACAAUAAUCCAGAGUUUCCUGUGAUCAUUAGUGAUAAACUCACUCAGGAGCAGACUCUGCGAUUAAUGACCAUUCUUGAGAAACAUCACUCAGUUUUUGGCUACUCACUCCAAGAUCUUACAGGAAUCAGUCCUAUGAUUUGCACCCAUCGUAUUCCAAUAGAUCCUUCUGUUUCACCUUCUCGAGAGCCCCAACGUAGACUUAACAAUGCGAUGAGAGAGGUAGUUAAAAAGGAAGUUAUAAUGUUGCUGCAUGCAGGGAUUAUAUAUCCUGUGCCGCACAGUGAGUGGGUAAGCCCAGUUCAAGUUGUGCCUAAAAAGGGAGGCAUGACUGUCGUUAUGAAUGAAAAGAACGAGCUAAUUCCGCAACGCACCGUCAUAGGGUGGCGGAUGUGCAUAGACUAUAGAAAACUAAACAAAGCCAUGAGAAAGGAUCAUUUUUCUUUACCUUUCAUAGAUGAGAUGCUAGAGCGAUUAGCGAACCAUUCGUUCUUCUGUUUCUUAGAUGGAUAUUGAGGGUAUCACCAGAUCCCGAUCCAUCCCGAUGAUCAAAGCAAAACCACUUUUACAUGCCCAUACGGAACUUAUGCGUACCGUAGAAUGUCUUUUGGGUUAUGUAAUGCACUAGCUUCUUUUCAAAGAUGCAUGAUGUCUAUAUUUUCUGAUAUGAUUGAAGAGAUUAUGGAAGUUUUCAUGGAUGAUUUCUCUAUUUAUGGAAAAACUUUUGAUAGUUGUCUUGAAAACUUAGAUAAGGUUUUGCAAAGAUGUGUAGAAAAGCACUUAGUCCUUAAUUGGGAAAAAUGUCAUUUUAUGGUUAGAGAAGGAAUAGUGCUGGGACACCUAGUGUCUGAAAGAGGUAUUGAGGUAGACAAAGCUAAAAUUGAAGUAAUGGAACAACUACCUCCACCUGUGAAUAUAAGAGGAAUUCGAAGCUUUCUUGGCCAUGCUGGUUUUUAUCGCAGAUUCAUAAAAGAUUUUUCAUUCAUUGCUAGACCACUUACUCUUUUGCUAGCCAAGGAUGCUCCUUUCGAAUUUGAUGAUGCAUGUCUAACAUCUUUCAAUUUAUUAAAGAAAGCACUCAUCUCUGCACCAAUCAUUCAACCCCCUGAUUGGUCGUUUCCUUUUGAAAUUAUGUGUGAUGCUAGUGAUUAUGCUGUGGGGGCAGUUUUGGGACAAACUAAAAAUAACAAGCAUCAUGCAAUUGCUAACGCCAGUAAAACUUUGACAUGAGCUCAACUUAAUUAUGCAACCACUGAAAAAGAGCUUCUGGCUGUUGUUUUUGCCAUUGAUAAAUUUAGAUCUUAUUUAGUUGGAGCUAAAAUAAUUGUUUACACUGAUCAUGCUGCACUAAAAUAUCUGCUCACUAAAUAGAUGCUAAACCUCGCCUGAUUAGAUGGAUCUUAUUACUUCAAGAAUUUGACUUAGAAAUAAAAGCUAAAAAGGGAAUAGAAAAUUCUGUUGCUGAUCGCUUGUCUAGAAUGUAUUUUAAGAGUCCACAGGAAACCCCCAUCAAUGAUUCACUCCGGGACGACAUGCUCUACGGGAUUAACAGGUCUGACCCCUGGUAUGCAGAUAUUGUUAAUUUUAUGGUUUCAGGGUAUGUACCACCAGGAGCAAAUAAGAAGAAGCUUAUUCAAGAAAGUCGUUCACAUAUAUGGGAUGAGCCAUACCUCUUCCAAGUAUGCUCUGAUGGCUUACUCAGGAGAUGUGUGACCACUGAGGAAGGAUGGAAGACCAUCGACAGGUGUCAUUCAUCACCAUAUGAAGGUCAUUAUGGAGCAUUCCGUACACAUUCAAAGUUCUGGCAGUGUGAAUUCUACUGGCCUACGAUGUAUGAAGACACGAAGCAAUAUAUCAGAAGAUGUGGGCCAUGUCAAAGGCACAGAAACAUAAACACAAGAGAUGCCAUGCCACUCACCAACAACCUUUAGAUUGAGCUCUUUGAUGUCUGGCGAAUAGACUACAUGGGUCCAUUUUCCCCAUCAAAGAAGUGUGAAUUCAUCUUGGUGGCAGUUGACUACGUCUCCAAGUGGGUAGAGGCACUACCUUGCAAGCAUGCCGACAACAUCAGUUCAAAGAGGAUGUUUGAAGAAAUUAUAUUUCCAAGAUUUGGAGUUCCCAGAGUAGUGAAAAGUGAUGGAGGAGCACACUUCAUCGACAAACGCUUCAAGCAAUAUCUAUCAAAACAUGGAAUCCGUCACAAUCUUCGCUACCCCCUAUCAUCCUCAGACAAGUGGCCAAGCAGAGACUUCCAACAAGCAAAUCAAGAAUAUUCUUCAGAAGAUAGUGAAUGAAAUGGGAACGGCAUGGAAAGACAAGUUAUCCAAUGCACUCUGGGCAUACCGGACAACAUACAAGACCCCAAUUGGAAUGUCCCCAUACCAAUUGGUGUACGAGAAGACUUGCCACCUACCUGUUGAACUAGAAUUCAAAGCACACUGGGCCAUAAGGAGAAGGAAUAUGGACCUAGAUGUCGCUGGAGAUCAUAGAAGAAUGCAAUUAUCAGAAUUGGAAGAAUGGCGAGAGAAAGCAUAUCAAAAUUCGAAGAUCUACAAACAAAGAGUCAAAAGGUGGCAUGACAAGAGGAUCAAGAAGGACUUCGCACCUGGAGAUAAGGUAUUACUUUUUAAUUCUAGGGUGAAGCUUUUCGGGUAUGGAAAACUCUGGGGUAAGUGGGAAGGACCAUUCAAGGUAAUCAAUUCAUCAUCCCACGGAGCUAUCACUCUUCAAAAUGACGAAGGUACGUUAUCCAAGGUAAAUGGUCAACGUCUUAAAUUAAUUUUAGAGGCCAACAAAGGAUUAGAAGAAAUAGACGUAAUCCAUUUUUACCUUCCCAUGGAGAUUUAGAGCCCAACCUUUUUAAUUUGACGUUUUAGGGCCAUGUAUAUAUUUUCCUAAUAAGUUUUGCAUCUAGAAACACGCUCAAGGAAGCGAGCCCACAGAGGGGCCAGACAUAGGGCGGGCGCCCUGAUGAAUAGGUCGGGCGCCCAGCCCCUGCCCCCUCUCGGUCCCGAUUUCCCCCGUCGCGGAAAACACACAUAUGGUAAACCAAAUAAUCCUUCAGAUGGAAAGUUUCGCACGCACAUCGACGGGAGGAACCCGAACAACCCCUAGAGGCACUUUUUUACCCCUAUAUAAACAGACCCCUGACGUCAGUUUUCAAACACCAAUCUAUUCCAGCCUUCUCUCCUUUUUCAAUUGGAGCUUGCUUAGUUCCUCGCUACUCCAAUGGCCGAAGAGUUCCACGACGAUUGGGAAGUCAUUCCCUACGACGUCAACAAGAAGCCUAAGGAAGACCCCGACGCCCGUGCUCUUGUCCCGGCCAACACAGAGCGGCAGCUAGAAGCCAUGCCAUUACGCCAGCGCAGCUCCGCCCAAUCCUACUAUGCUCAACCAGUUCUCACCGCACCACCACAACCCCUACUUCUCAAGGGACCAUCAGCCAAGAAGGAGACCACCAUCAAGGUGCCAGCCGGUACUAGGAUCCUUCCACCCCGACCCAAUGAGAUGGUCGUUGGAGUCAAGACCAACCGGAGCGGCGAGAUCAGCAGCAUCCGCUACACUACGAAGGAAGAAAGACCUUACUUUGAAGGGAUUAGAGCAGCCAAAUUCUGUUUCAUCCCUCUAGAGGCAGCCCCAAAGCACGCUCUCAAUGCUUUUGAGACACCUCCUAAGUGCCGCAAGACUAUAGUAGAUAUUGAUGAGGACGUUCGCAGGCUAGAUAGAGUCAUCAUAGACCUCCAGUCCUCGGUUAACUCCAUCACUAGGCAGCUCUCUAACCACAACACCGUUAUACUAGGCCUUAGGCAUGAUCAUGCUAGUGCCAAUAAGAAGAUCAGGGAGUUAGAGCGCCGCUAAGUUAUCUAGAUUAGAUCUUGAGGCAAUGCAUCUUAGUUAUUUACCUUUAAAUUCGGUUUAGAUUUACUAUUAUCGUCAGUUUGCUACUAGUUAUUUGUAAUAAAUGCCUCGAGAUUAAUAAAGAGUAUUAUUAUUAUGUCUUGUGUGUCUCUACUUUAUUUUUGUGCAAGAAAGCAGAAAACAAGUAUGGGGGAGAUCCCUCGACAUGCCAAACACACUCCGACUACAUCACUCCACGAUUCAGGUACAUACUCUGCACACUUUACUUUACACAUAUACAUAUAUAUCUUGGAUUAUGCAGAAUGUUGUCUCCGACAUGAUAAAUUAAAAAGAUUAAAAUGUUUCUAAUCAUGAUUAAUCUCACACUGUGAUAUUUCCUGAAAACCUGCAAUUAUUGAAAAAUCAUUUGAAAACCCUGUGUUACUUAAGUCAUUGUGGAAUGUAAGAUGGUAGAGUACGAGUACCUUAUUCUUGAUACCAAUGUUGCUUGGAUAAUUUAUUCAAAAAAAUUCUAGCUACAAUCCUCAGUGUUUUAUAUGCCUGAUAAACCUAAAAAUAUAUUAAAUAUAAAAGCUAUCUACUCUGUAUUGAGUUUAUUCAAAAUGAGUUAGACCCUUGAUGAGAGAUUUAUCAUGCUCCAAAGAUCAAGACAUUAUUUCAGAAAGAUUCACUCUUUCGAAGUAUUAUUGCAUUAGAGGCAUGGGCUAUGCAAAAAUAAGGAUAUUUCGAGGAAAUAAAAAGGAGCAAGUGCUCGAUAACCUCGCAGAAAAAAAUGGACAAGUGUCCGGCACUAGAAUUAGGGGGUACCUCGGUAUCCACUUAAAAAAAGAGAGAAGAAAAAGAAAAUGAUAGCCCAUGGUCCCUCUAAUAAGCAAUUUGUCAGUAAGAGUUGACAAGUUUUUAAUUUCCAGAAGUCUUUGAUCUAAGAGUAUGGCAUUCCUCUCCUCUUAUCCUGUUUUGAUCAGGCAAUAAAUGCAAAGUAAGUAUGCUUGAGAAUUUUUGCAAAUUAAGACAGCCUCAGUGAGAUAUAUAAAAGAUAAAUGAGUGAUUUGAGAGAACCUAUGAUGACAAAAGGUAUGCUAAUUCCUUUUCAAAAAUAUACAAAAACUCCAAGUGACAGGAUUGAAAGGAAGAAAGGAUCUCUACUCUUGAUCAUAUAUUUCCCUGACUACAGUAUACAGUGAAUUUUUACAACACCCUGCUGGUAUGAAGAGAAUGCUUUACAAUGUUUUAACCCUAGAUAUUUUUCUUAACCAUCCUUCUCUCGAGGACGAGUAAAAGCCUAAGUAUGGUGGUAUUUGUUGACGGUUCUUAAGUACCAAUUUAAAUUAUUAAAUAAACAAGGGAAAGGACCAAUAUACAAACAACAUCUAGAAUUAGGGCUUGAUCUGACAGAAUUCCACGAGUUUUGUUGUUUAUCUGUUUCUGUAGGAGGUUAUCAGGAAAUAUGAAAGAAAGACCCACAUGUCGGGAUUACAUAUAGAUAUCAACGUACCGCGUAAUUUUCUACCAUCUAGAAUUCUCCAGAAGCCAGGAGAACGAAACGGAGGCAGAACGGGGACUAGCCCAGGGCGCCCGCACUAGGGACCAGGGCGCCCGCCCCCCUCUACAGUCCAAUCAGGACUCUCUUUCGGGAUUACGCUCCACCGACCUAAAGGAUAAAGGAUAAUCGUUCAAUCAAUGUCGGUUUGAUCCAACGGCCCACGUUCACCUGAGGGGACUAUAUAAGUAGACCCCCUGGCCCCUGGAGGAGACACAAGUUCAUCAUAGAGUUGAGAGGAGCCCUCGAAGGAAUACCUCUCCUCUAAAUAGACUUAGGGCUUAGCAUCCAAUGUGAGUAGAAUUAGAUCUUCUAGUUUCUACUAGAUUGAGAGAGAUAGAGUGGAGGUGUAGAUCGGAGGAAGCCCGGCCUGUCGGUGUCUACUCCGAGGUUGUACCUGCAGGAUCAAGUUCUCAUAACCCGAAGCUUGCUCCUAGGAUUCUGACUUCUAAAUUCUAGUAAGUUCUUGUUUUAUUGUUCUUUGGUUUACGAGUUUACUUUAAUCUCUUCGCGUAGAGUUUAGAGUAAUCAUCUCUAGCGUAGACGUGGUGUUUGGGCUAGGAUACUCACAGAUAUUCCCAGACUAGCUGGACCAUGGUAGUAGCGAGGAACGUGACAUUUCCGAGUUACCUUUGCAGACCAUAUCUCGUUAGCAGGAAGGAUAGGGUUUAUAGGUGCGGGUUGAACAUCCUCUGUGGUGUCUAGAUUCCGUAAGCUUCCCCAAUAGAACAGUAGAUCAUCCUUACCAAGGUUAGAAAGAGAUUACGGUUGUAGUCUUCUCUAUAUAUCACCCACAUCGAGAACAUUCUUUGUAGCCUAAAGGUUAGUAGUAAUAGACUGGGUUAGUUAGAUGCAGUCUUUCCCCUAGUGGUAAAAAUAUAAAUACGAUACUCUGGAUAACAUCCUGGGUGAAGUGCUCACCAAUAUCCGUGUGCUUGCAGAUCAAUUCCUUUUUGCGUUCCCAAAUAUCAACAAUGGCUCCAUGAGUUGAAGUGUCAAUAACCUUGUAUGGUCCAUCCCACUUACUUCGUAGCUUACCAUGCCCAAAGAGCUUAACUCUUGAAUUGAAUAGUAGAACCUUAUCUCCAGGCUUAAACUCCUUGUGCUUGAUUCUCUUAUCAUACCAUUGUUUUGUUCUCUCUUUAUAGAUCCUUGAAUUGUGGUAGGUGUUGACGGUCCUUAACUACCAAAUAUAAUCAUCAAAUAAAUAAAGAAAAAGAUCCAAAUACAACCAACACCCAAACUUAGGGUUUUAUCUGACAGAAUUCCAUGAGUUUUGGUGUUUGUCUAUUUCUAUAGGGGGUUAUCAGGAAAUAUGGAGGAAAGGCCCACAUGUCGGGUUUACAUAGAGAUAUUAACAUGCCACGCAAUUUUCUAUCAUCUAGAAGACUCGAGAAGCCAUGGGAACGAACGGGAAGGCGAUCGGGCCCGGGUACAGGGCGCCCGCCCUCCCCCCUAAGGCGCCCGCCCUGAGUUAGAGUCCAAUCAGGACCCGUCUCGCGAAUUACGCUCCACCGACCUAAAGGAUCAAGGAUAAUCGUUCAGUCAAUGUCGGUUUGAUCCGACGGCCCAGAUUCACUUUAGAGGACUAUAUAAGUAGACCCCCUGGCCCCUGGAGGAGAACAAGUUCAUUGUAGAGUUGAGAGGUGCCCACGAAGGAUAACCUUUCCUCUACAUAGAUAGAGCAAAACCUAGGGUUUGGAGAUGAGAGCUCUACUCUCACCUCUAAACUAGGGUAGAUCUAGAUAGUAGUGAGCUGGAGAGCGAGGCAGGAUUGGAGGAGAGGCCGGCCUGUCGGUUCUUCCUCGGUUGUACUUUGCCAUGAUCGAGUUCUAAUCAAGCUUGCUCAUGGGAUGACUCUGGUAAUCUACUUCUAUUUCAUUAUGCAAUUACUAUUCAUGUAUGUUCUGGUUCACAUCUCUUUUGAGUACUUUUGAUCUAUAGGACCCUAUAGGUUAGAGUUGCAGUAUAGGUGUAAGCGUGGUGCUUAGACCUAGAUUACUUGUGGAUAUCCCCUGUCUAGCUGGAUCGUGUGGUAGGUCGCGUAGGUGACAGUAACGUUGGUCCCCUGUAGUCCACCUCUUGUUAGCAGGACGGGUAGGGUUUAUCGGCCUAUGGAUAAGCAUCCUUUGUGGUGUAUUCUUAUCACGUAGUUCGUCCCAGACAUAGACAUACCCCUUUGAAGUAGAGAAACCAUAGUUAUCCUCUCUAUUCUCCAACCAUCGCCCAUAUAUUAGAUUGCUCUACUCUAUAUUCCCCCAUUAUCAUUUUACCUUUAAUGUUGUUCUUAUUCAAUUCUACCACCUUUCCUAUUUACACUUACCCAUCUAUCUAGGUUUAGUUAGAGCGUAGAUCAGUUCUCCCAUUUCCCUGUGGAUACGAUAAAACCUUUAACCGGGUGUUGAUAUUUGGGAACGCAAUAAGGAAUUGAUCCGUAAGCGCGCGGAUAUCGGUGAGCACUUCACCCGGGAUAUUAUCCAGAGUAUCGUAUUAAUAUUUUUACCACUAUGAGAAAGAGUGCAUCUGACUAACCCAGUCUAUUACUACUAACCUUUAGGCUACAAAGAAUGUUUCUCGAUGUGAGUGAUAUAUAGAGAAGACUACAACCGUAAUCUCUUUCUAACCUUAGUAAGGAUGAUCUACUGUUCUAUUGGGGAAGCUUAUGGAAUCUAGACACCACAGAGGAUGUUCAACCCGCACCUAUAAACCCUAUCCUUCCUGCUAACGAGAUAUGGUUUGCAAAGGUAACUCGGAAAUGUCACAUUCCUCGCUACUAUCACGGUCCAGCUAGUUAGGGGAUAUCUGUGAGUAUCGUAGCCCAAACACCACGUCUACGCUAGAGAUCAUUACUCUAAACUCUACGCGAAGAGAUUAAAGUAAACUCACAAACCAAAGAACAAUAAAACAAGAACUUACUAGAAUUUAGAAGUCGAAAUACUGAAGAAUCCUAGGAGCAAGCUUCUGGUUAGGAGAACUUGAUCCCAUAGGUACAACCUCGGAGUAGACACUAACAGGCUGGGCUUCCUCCAAUCUACACCUCCACACUAUCUCUCUCAAUCUAGUAGAAACUAGAAGAUCUAAUUCUACUCACAUUGGAUGCUAAGCCCUAAGUCUAUUUAGAGGAGAGGUAUUCCUUCGAGGGCUCCUCUCAACUCUAUGAUGAACUUGUUCUCCUCCAGGGGCCAGGGGGUCUGGUUUUAUAGUCCCCUCAGGUAAACGUGGGCCGUUGGAUCAAACCGACAUUGAUUGAACGGUUAUCAUUGAUCCUUUAGGUCGGUGGAGCUUGAUCCAUGAAGAGAGUCCUGAUUGGACUCCAGAGGGGGGCGGGCGCCCUGGUCCCUAGGGCGGGCGUCCUAGGCCAGGCCCCUUUCAGUCUCCGCUUUGUUCCUGUGGCUUCUGGAGUCUUCUAGAUGGUAGAAAAUUGCGCGGUGCGUUGAUAUCUCUAUGUAAUCCCGACAUGUGGGCCUUUCUUCCUUAUUUCCUGAUAACCCCCUACAGAAACAGAUAAACAACAAAACUCAUGGAUUGUAGGUAGAAUUUUUGAAUAAAUUCUCCAAGCAACAAUAAUUUCAAGAAUAAGAAACUCAUACUCUACCAUCUCACAUUCCACAAUGACUUAAGUAACACAGGGUUUUAAAAUGAUUUUUCAAUAAUUGCAGGUUUUCAGGAAAUAUUACAGAGUGAGAUUAAUCAUGAUUAGAAACAUUUUAAUCUUUUUAAUUUAUCAUAUCGGAGACAAUAUUCUGCAUAAUCCAAGAUGUGUAUGUGUAAAGUGUGUAGAGUAUGUACCUGAAUCGUGGAGUGAUGUAGUCAGAGUGUGUUUGGCAUGUCGAGGGAUCUCCCCCAUACUUGUUUCCUGCUUUCUUGUAUAAAAAUAAAGUAGAGACACACAAGACAUAUUAAUAAUAAUAAUACUCUUUAUUAAUCUUGAGGCAUUUAUUACAAAUGACUAGUAGCAAACUGACGAUAAUAGUAAAUCUAAACCGAAUUUAGAGAUAAAUAACUAAGAUGCAUUGCCUCAAGAUCUAAUCUAGAUAACUUAGCAGCGCUCUAACUCCCUGAUCUUCUUAUUGGCACUAGCAAGAUCAUGCCUAAGACCUAGUAUCACGGUGUUGUGGUUAGAGAGCUGCAUAGUGAUGGAGUUAACCGAGGAGUGGAGGUCUAUGAUGACCCUGUCUAGCCUGCAAACGUCCUCAUCAAUAUCUACUAGUCUUGCGACGCUUAGGAGGUGUCUCAAAAGCAUUGAGAGCGUGCUUCGGGGUUGCCUUUGGAGGGAUGAAACAGACUUUAAAGUAAGGUCUCUCCACCUCCGUAGUGUAGCGGAUGCUGCUGAUCUAGCUGCUCCGGUUGGUCUUGACUCCAACGACCCUCUCAUUGGGUCUAGGUGGAAGGAUCCUCGUACCGGCUGGCACCUUGAUGGUGGUCUCCUUCUUGGAUGAUGGUCCAUUGGGAAGUAGGGGUUGUGGCGGUGCGGUGAGAACUAGUUGAGCAUGGUAGGAUUGGGCGGAGCUGCGCUGGCGUAAUGGCAUGGCUUCUAGCUGUCGCUCUGUUUUGGCCGGGAUGAGAGCACGGGCGUCGGGGUCUUCCUUAGGCUUCAUGUUGAGGUUGAAGGGGACGACUUUCCAAUCGUCAUGGAACUCUUCGGCCAUUGGAGCAGCGAUGGACUAAACAAGCUCUAAUUAAAGAAGAAGAGAAGGCUUGGAUAGAUUGGUGUUUGAAAACUGACGUCAGGGGUCUGUUUAUAUAGGGGUCAAAAAGUGCCUCUAGGGGUUGUUCGGGUUGCUCCCGUCGAUGUGCGUGCGAAACUUUCCAUCUGAAGGAUUAUUUGGUUUACCAUAAGUGUGUUUUCCGUGAUGGGGGAAAUCGGGACCGAGAGGGGUCAGGGGCUGGGCGCCCGCCCUCUUCAUCAGGGCGCCCGCCCUGUGUCUAGCCCCUUUGUGGUCCCGCUUCCUCGAGCGUGUUUCUAGAUGCAAAACUUAUUAGGAAAAUAUAUACAUGGCCCUAAAACGUCAUAUUAAAAAGGUUGGGCUCUAAAUCUCCGUGGGAAGGUAGAAAUUGAUUACGUCUAUUUCUUCUAAUUCUUUAUUGGGCUCUAAAAAUAAUUUAAGACGUUGACCAUUUACCUUGAAUAACGUACCUUCAUCAUUUUGAAGUGUGAUAGCUCCGUGGGAUGAUGAAUUGAUUACCUUGAAUGGUCCUUCCCAUUUACUCCGGAGUUUUCCAUGCCCGAAAAGCUUCACCCUGGAAUUGAAAAGUAAUACCUUAUCUCCGGGUGCGAACUCCUUCUUCUUGAUCUUCUUGUCAUGCCACCUUUUGACUCUUUCUUUGUAGAUCUUCGAAUUGUGAUAUGCUUUCUCUCGCCAUUCUUCCAAUUCUGAUAGUUGCAUUCUUCUAUGAUCUCCAGCAACAUCUAGGUCCAUAUUCCAUCUACUUAUGGCCCAAUGUGCUUUGAAUUCUAGUUCAAUAGGUAGGUGGCAAGUCUUCCCGUACACCAAUUGGUAUGGGGACAUUCCAAUUGGGGUCUUGUAUGCUGUCCGGUAUGCCCAGAGUGCAUCAGGUAACUUGUCUUUCCAUGCCGUUCCCAUUUCAUUGACUGUCUUCUGUAGAAUAUUCUUGAUUUGCUUGUUGGAAGUCUCUGCUUGGCCACUUGUCUGAGGAUGAUAGGGGGUAGCGACGUUGUGACGGAUUCCAUGUUUUGAUAGAUAUUGCUUGAAGGGUUUGUCGAUGAAGUGUGCUCCUCCAUCACUUAUCACUACUUUGGGAACUCCAAAUCUUGGAAAUAUAACUUCUUCAAACAUCCUUUUUGAACUAAUGUUGUCGGCGUGCUUGCAAGGUAAUGCCCCUACCCACUUGGAGACGUAGUCAACUGCCACCAAGAUGAACUCACACUUCUUUGAUGGGGGAAAAGGACCCAUGUAAUCUAUUCCCCAGACAUCAAAGAGCUCAAUUUGGAGGUUGUUGGUGAGUGGCAUGACAUCUCUUGUGUUUAUGUUUCCGUGUCUUUGACAUGGCCCACAUCUUCUGAUAUAUUGCUUCGUGUCUUCAUACAUUGUAGGCCAGUAGAUUCCACACUGCCAGAUCUUUGAAUGUGUACGGAAUGCUCCAUAAUGACCUCCAUAUGGUGAUGAAUGACAUCUGUCGAUGAUCUUCCAUCCUUCCUCGGUGGUCACACACCUCCUGAGUAUGCCAUCAGAGCAUACCCGGAAGAGGUAUGGCUCAUCCCAUAUAUGUGAACGACUUUCUUGAAUAAGCUUCUUCUUGUUUGCUCCUGGCGGUACAUAUCCUGAAACCAUAAAAUUAACAAUAUCUGCAUACUAGGGGUCAGACCUGUUCAUCCCAUAGAGCAUGUCGUCCCGGAGUGAAUCAUUGAUGGGGGUUUCCUCCGGACACUUAAAAUACAUUCUAGACAAGUGAUCAGCGACAGAAUUUUCUACUCUUUUAUUUCUAAGUCAAAUUCUUGAAGUAAUAAGAUCCAUGUAAUCAGGCGAGGUUUAGCAUCUUUUUUAGUGAGCAGAUAUUUUAGUGCAGCAUGAUCAGUGUAAUCAAUUAUUUUAGCUCCAACUAAAUAAGAUCUAAAUUUAUCAAUGACAAAAACAACAGCCAGAAGCUCUUUUUCAGUGGUUGCAUAAUUAAGUUGAGCUCAUGUCAAAGUUUUACUGGCGUUAGCAAUUGCAUGAUGCUUCUUAUUUUUAGUUUGUCCCAAAACUGCCCCCACAGCAUAAUCACUAGCAUCACACAUAAUUUCAAAAGGAAACGACCAAUCAGGGGGUUGAAUGAUUGGUGCAGAGAUGAGUGCUUUCUUUAAUAAAUUGAAAGAUGUUAGACAUGCAUCAUCAAAUUCGAAAGGAGCAUCCUUGGCUAGCAAAAGAGUAAGUGGUCUAGCAAUGAAUGAAAAAUCUUUUAUGAAUCUGCGAUAAAAACCAGCAUGGCCAAGAAAGCUUCGAAUUCCUCUUAUAUUCACAGGUGGAGGUAGUUGUUCCAUUACUUCAAUUUUAGCUUUGUCUACCUCAAUACCUCUUUCAGACACUAGGUGUCCCAGCACUAUUCCUUCUCUAACCAUAAAAUGACAUUUUUCCCAAUUAAGGACUAAGUGCUUUUCUUCACAUCUUUGCAAAACCUUAUCUAAGUUUUCAAGACAACUAUCAAAAGUUUUUCCAUAAACAGAGAAAUCAUCCAUGAAAACUUCCAUAAUCUCUACAAUCAUAUCAGAAAAUAUAGACAUCAUGCAUCUUUGAAAAGAGGCUAGUGCAUUACAUAACCCAAAAGACAUUCUACGGUAAGCAUAAGUUCCAUAUAUGGGCAUGUAAAAGUGGUUUUGCUUUGAUCAUCGGGAUGGAUCGGGAUCUGGUGAUACCAUGAAUAUCCAUCUAAGAAAUAGAAGAACGAAUGGUUCGCUAAUCGCUCUAGCAUCUCAUCUAUGAAAGGUAAAGGAAAAUGAUCCUUUCUUGUGGCUUUAUUUAGUUUUCAAUAGUUUAUGCACAUCCGCCACCCAGUGAUGGUGCGUUGCGGAAUUAGCUCGUUCUUUUCAUUCAUAAUGAUAGUCAUACCUCCCUUUUUAGGCACAACUUGAACUGGGCUCACCCACUCACAGUGCGGCACAGGAUAUAUAAUCCCUGCAUACAGCAACUUUAUAACUUUCUUUUUAACUACCUCUCUCAUCGUGUUGUUAAGUCUACGUUGGGGUUCUCGAGAAGGUGAAACAGAAGGAUCUGUCGGAAUACGAUGGGUACAAAUCAGGUCUUGGAGUGAGUAGCCAAAAACUGAGUGAUGUUUCUCAAGAAUGGUCAUUAAUCGUAGAGUUUGCUCCUGAGUGAGUUUAUCACUAAUGAUCACAGGAAACUCUGGAUUAUUGUUUAAGAAAGCAUAGAUAAGACCGGGUGGUAAAGUUUUAAGCUCUAUGGGAGGUUUAGGCGUUUCUGCAAACUCAUCUAAGGGUUCAGGUUCAGAAGGUUCGGCCUCUUCUUCUGUGAAGAAAGGACCUUUGUCUUCUAAGUCUGGUUCUUCUAAAAGCUCUAAAGAUGCAGCCUUUACCUCCUCCAUAGGAUCAGGCAAAAGAUAUGACUCGGCCUUAUUAUUCAAGGAGUGUGGAAUUGUUAUGGGAAAUUUAAAAGUUUUUCCAAAAGAAAUGUGUAGCUUUCUAGUAUGACCUUCAUAAAGGAGUCUUCUAAAAGGUUGUCCUAUCAACAGGUCGAAGUCUCAUGUAUCAAAGAUAUAGAAAUUCAAAUGAACCAUGGAGCCUUCUACCAUAAGGGGUAGGACAUUAAUAAUUCCAAGACUGGGGACUAAUCGUCCCAAAGAUUCCUUUAUGACCUUUGUUGUGGGGGUUAAGACCAAAUUUUCAAAUAAUUUGAGUGCAAAAGAUUCAGACAUGAUGUUGAUCCCCACAACAGGAUUAUAGAGAGCAUUAAAUCGAUCUGAAUCAUAAGCACAACGUAUAGUUAUAGUGGGUGUGUCCAAACAGAUCACAUCAGAGGAAAGCUCUGAUUCCUCCAACCAUUCGCUACUCAUGACUGCGAUAAGCUCUCUCAAUUGAUGUUCACUUGGUAAACAAAUGCUAAAAUGGCCGUUUUGAGGUUUGUCAAUAGAAUGGUAAUUUGAAAUGUUUCCAUAAUCGGCAAAAAGAUCAUAUUCUAUAUCCAGCAUUAAAGGAGGUGGUGGAAUUUCUUCCUUUUGUGGCUCAGAACUUGGGAUAGCUAAAGUAGAUGGAGAAUUUGGCAGAGUGUCUACUUCGGCUUCGUGGGUUUCAUCAUGAAGGGUAUUAUCCAUCUCAGCUUCUAGGAUUCUAUCUAAGAUCACUCUAGCAUCAUCAGUAGGGAUACGAAAGAAAGAACCUCUAGACAUUGUAUGUAGCAUUUGUUUGUGAUCUUUCUGAAGACCUCGAAAAAAGUGAAAUAAAAGAACAGGGUCUUCAAGAUUAAGGUUUGGACCAGAUUCUAAAAGAUCAGAAAAACGUUUCUAGGAUUUUCCCAAAGUUUCAUUAUCUUUUUGUUUAAAAGAUAGGACUUUGAGUCUAAGGUCGCCGAUACGGUCGAGGGAAUAAAAAUCUAGACAAAAGUUGGCUAGUAAAACUCCCCAUUCACCUCGUUGUUGACUUACCUUCUGAUUAUACCAUUGUCUAGCUUCUCCCCUUAAAGAAAAAGGAAAAAGCUUCCAACGUAAAGUUUUAUCAUAAAUGGCUUCAAUGCGAAGACAAUCACAUGUUUGCUCAAAAUCUCUAAUAUGAAGGUAAGGGUUUUCAUCUUCCUUUCUCGAAAAGGAUAGGUUUUGAAUCAUGGUAAUCAACCUAGAACUUAACCUAUACUGGGAUGUUUGGAUAGGCUAUAAUGACUCCCAUGGUAAAAGGUCAUUUAGUGAAGGUGUUGCAAAUUGGUAGAUUGAUUUAGAAUCUUGGUUUUCCAUAAGGUAAGAGUAAAGAAAAUAAAAGAAUAUAAGAGAUAAGAAAAGAUAAAAGUAUAGAUACAAGCUAGUAGUAAGACUCAAGGUUAUCUCAGCAAACCGUCUUUCUCCCCGGCAACGGCGCCAGAAAUGCUUGUUGAUAUUUGGAAACGCAAUAAGGAAUUGAUCCGCAAGCGCAUGGAUAUCGGUGAGCACUUCUCCCGGGAUAUUAUCCAGAGUAUCCUAUUUAUAUUUUUACCACUAGGAGAAAGAGUGCAUCUGACUAACCCAGUCUAUUACUACUAACCCUUAGGCUACAAAGAAUGUUUCUCGAUGUGGGUGAUAUAUAGAGAAAACUACAACCGUAAUCUUUUCCUAACCUUGGUAAGGAUGAUCUACUGUUCUAUUGGGGAAGCUUACGGAAUCUAGACACCACAGAGGAUGUUCAACCUGCACCUAUAAACCCUAUCCUUCCUGCUAACGAGAUAUGGUUUGCAAAGGUAACUCGGAAAUGUCACGUUCCUCGCUACUACCACGGUCCAGCUAGUCAGGGGAUAUCUAUGAGUAUCCUAGCCCAAACACCACAUCUACGCUAGAGAUGAUUACUCUAAACUCUACGCGAAGAGAUUAAAGUAAACUCAUAAACCAAAGAACAAUAAAACAAGAACUUACUAGAAUUUAGAAGUCGAAAUACUUAAGAAUCCUAGGAGCUAGCUUCUGGUUAGGAGAACUUGAUCCCGCAGGUACAACCUCAGAGUAGACACCGACAGGCCCGGCUUCCUCCGAUCUACACCUCCACUCUAUCUCUCUCGAUCUAGUAGAAACUAGAAGAUCUAAUUCUACUCACAUUGGAUGCUAAGCCCUAAGUCUAUUUAGAGGAGAGGUAUUCCUUCGAGGGUUCCUCUCAACUCUAUGAUGACCUUGUUCUCCUCCAGGGGCCAGGGGGUCUGGUUUUAUAGUCUCCUCAGGUAAACGUGGGCCGUUGGAUCAAACCGACAUUGAUUGAACGAUUAUCCUUUAUCCUUUAGGUCGGUGGAGCUUGAUCCGCGAAGUGAGUCCUGAUUGGACUCCAGAGGGGGCGGGCGCCCUAGUCCCUAGGGCGGGCGCCCUGGGCUAGGCCCCUUUCGGUCUCCGCUUUGUUCCUGUGGCUUCUGGAGUCUUCUAGAUCGUAGAAAAUUGCGCGGUGCGUUGAUAUCUCUAUGUAAUCCCGACAUGUGGGCCUUUCUUCCUUAUUUCCUGAUAACCACCUGCAGAAACAGAUAAACAACAAAACUCGUGGAAUUCUAUCAGAUCAAACCCUAAUUCUAGGUGUUGGUUGCAUAUUGGUCCUUUCCCUUGUUUAUUUGAUAAUUAAAAUUGAUACUUAAGAACCGUCAACACCGCGUAAAAGCUACAACGGUAUCAAUGCGCUUGCGGAUUUAUGUGUGUGCGUAUAAAUACCAUCGUACACUCUAGUGCCAUGCUGGGGAUGACAACCUAGUAUUCAAGUGGUGUUAGCAAGUGUCAACAAGCUUUUUUGGCGCCGUUGCCGGGGAAACGGUUGCUGAGUUGACUACGAACUAGCUAUUUUCUAAAAAAUAAUAAAAAAAUAUACUUUUCCUUUUAUCCUUUGCCUUAUCUCUGCUAUUCUUUCUUCUUAUCUAAUCCUUGAUUUCUGGUCUAUCAUUAAUGCAAACAUGUCUAUCUAUCAGUUUCAUAGACCUACGGGCAAACAUCUCGAACCACCAAAAUCUUCAAAGCCUAUCAUAGCAUCUAGUUUUGAGAUAGACCCCAAAUACAUAGAAUUUGUUCAAAAACAACCUUUCUCAGGAGAAGGUGAGGAAAACCCAUACACACACCUAAGAGAGUUUUAUCGAGUCUGUGACCUCCUUCGCAUAGAAGGCAUGUCCGAUGAGACCCUUAAAUGGAAGCUCUUUCUGUUCUCUUUAACAGGAAAAGCUAGACAUUGGUACAAACUCAGAGUAGGGAGUGUUCAUGGAGAUUGGAAGGAGUUAUAUAAUAGUUUUCUUUUUAAAUAUUUUCCAAUCUCCAAAGUGGUGGAACUUCGGCGUGAGAUUCUUUCUUUUAGACAACUGGAAGAAGAAUCUCUCGGCAAAUCAUGGGACCGCUUUAUUAACGUUACUCUCACUGGUCCAAAGCUUUCUAUUCCAGAAGACGUUCUUCUAAUUCACUUUUUUGAGGGCCUUAAUAGGGAGAAUAAGCAAACCGUGAAUAUAGCCUCUAGAGGAUCCUUCUAUCACCUACCUGCUAGUGAAGCUAGGGAUUUAAUUGAUUCAUUGAGUGGAAAGUUUCCUAGCACUUAUAUCCCUAAGAAAGAGAAAGAACUAGUUCCUAGACAAGAAGAAGAAGUUUCGAUAGCCAGAUCACAACCACUUCAAUUCCAAACUUUAGCUAUCGAUCAUAAACCAUCAAUAUCCCAAAAUUCUCCAAGGGAGGAAGGAAUUCCGACCUUAAAUCUUUCAAAUGCUGAUGGUUUAGACUUCUGGUUCCAUAAGAGACCUUCAAGCAGGGAUAAUUCAAAUCCUUGCAAUAACGGUUCUCUUAGAGAAUGUCCUGGUUCCUGUUAUGAAGAAGUUGAGGAUGACAUAUCAAGUGAAGGAGAGCUAAACCAUAUAGAAAAUUCUAUCUGCUCCCCUUCCAUGUUCACAAAUUCUAAAUCCAUCCUUGACCUUAGAGACCCCUCUUAUCCCUCUCCUUUUAAGUCUCAUGAUGAUCCUAGCAAUCCACCAAGACGACCAAACUAUAGGAGUCAUGAAGACCAUAAGGAUGGCAUGCCAAGUAAUGCCAUAGAAGGAGAGCUAAGCCAUAGAGAAGAUUCUAUCAGCUCCCCUGUCUUGAUCACAAGUUCUAAAUGGCAGAAAUGUGUAGAAUGGAUGGAUAUGGAUGAAGCCUUAAUGGGUUCUGACUUUGGCUCAAUUUCAAAUGGUGAGUUCUUGACUCCCUUUCAAGAUGAGAUGCAUCCAACUACAGAAGAGGACAUAGGUGAGACCAAUCCAGGAGAAACUCCGAACAUUCAGAUAGGAGACGAAGAUAACAUUAAUGAUCAUGGAAUUUAUUUCAUAGCCAUCUCGUUUACUCCAUGCUCAUAUGCAACAUCUUCCCAAUCUAUUGGUCUCUCCAACGUCACCACAUUUGAGAUCUCCAACCCCCUCUUCCUUUCUAUUUAUAAAAACAUUAAAAGGGCGGUUGACGAUGCAUAUGUCUAUAAUAAGUUGAUCUUGAUAUAGGUCAGCGAUUGGAAGGGAAACCACUUCGCCGACAUAAAUUGAUGGUUUCCUAAGGACAAGCUUGGUGUCCUAAAACAAGCACUGAUCAGAUCGUAACAUGAGCUUUUAAUUAUUUGCAACAUUACCUUGCGUAUUGAGCAUAUAAGGAUAAUUGUAAAAAUAUUCCUUCGGGUAUUCUUGACACUAACCUUUCCAGGAUUGGAGCAAGAAAAUCGGAUGAAUGACAAGCACAAGGUAUGUCCAACCGAUCAUCAUACAACAUUGAAUUAAAUUCAUCCAAACUUGAAUUUUGCAAAAUUCAAGCUUGGGGGAGUACCUAACAUAAAAACAUCCUUUGUCAUGUUGCUAUGUUGGUUGUCCCUACCUUUGAGACAUGCUCAAUUUGUUAAAUACUAAUCACACUACUUCAUCUCCACUUGAGUAGAUCUCUAUAAAUGCCAUCACGCUACCUUUGUUUAUCCUAGUAAGUGUUAGUUUGGAAGUACUGCACAUACUUCUAUUGGCUUUUAAAUUAAGCAUGGUGCUUAGGUUAAACAGCCUUCCUUAAUCUGAUUAGACAUGGAGUCUAGUUCGGUUAUUGAACUAAAAACUACUUGUGUAGACAUUGGUAUAUUUUGUCAGACUAACCCCUGCAGAAAAACUUUCAAUAUCGAUUUGGGAAGUCCUGAGAUAAAUUCACAUCAGAGAUGAAGAGAGAGACACAUGAAGUUUAAAAAUUUGCACAAGAAGGACAUAGCUCAUUCAUCAUAGAGAGAUGAUCCAUGGAAGGAGACAAAGUACAUAAACAAGAUACACAACCACUAUGAAUGGGAAGCUUCCACAAGGUGAGAUAGUACCAUCACACUUCAAUUAAGGUAACAUCUUAAGAUAUGUGACUAUCACUUUUAUAAGCUUUUCCUUGGUUCUAGCAUUCACAUAAAUAAAGAGACAAACAUGUAUGAUUUAUAACUCCAAAUUAACCAACCCAACUGAUUCAGCAUGUUUAGUCCUUUAAUCUUUGUUCCUAGUACUACCUCCAUGAUCCCACACUCCUAAUCAUAUGAGCUAAAAUGUUACACAUUCAAUCUUUAAGAGAUAUAAAGGAAAAGACAUAUAAAUAGAUAGAUUAUCUUUCCAUAAGGUUGAAGCGAUCUGAUCUGACAAAUGUUAUAAGUGCUACACUCAUGAACUUAUCAUCCAUCAACUUUGUCCUGCUCACUAUGCUUAAGGUUAGAGAAGAACAAAUACACUUUUGGUUCUGUUGGUGUUUUCCACCAACAGGGCCCAUGCACUUCAUCUCUGCCUUGUCUCUAUGAGCAGGUACACUUUUAGCAAAACAUGGAGGAGUUUUAUAACUCUCAGAUUCCACCAAUUGAAGGACCUAGAUCUACGAGCACAAACACACUGAGCAGAAUGCUGCCAACACCGCACUUCGAACUGCUGAGC
RNAcentral lists this long non-coding RNA (58237 nucleotides) under Sorghum bicolor (sorghum). RNAcentral's name for it is "long non-coding RNA (SBIC_LNC012837)". The record is from RNAcentral. Lineage: Eukaryota; Viridiplantae; Streptophyta; Magnoliopsida; Poales; Poaceae.